Molecule: long non-coding RNA, 56729 nt
Filed under: Gossypium barbadense (sea-island cotton)
Lineage: Eukaryota; Viridiplantae; Streptophyta; Magnoliopsida; Malvales; Malvaceae
Description: long non-coding RNA (GBAR_LNC013692)
Source: RNAcentral
CGUAACCUUUUAUAAACCUCCUGUAGUAGCCUGUAAGACCUAGGAAGCUGCGCAAUUCUUUAAUCGAUUGCGGUAUAGGCCAUGAAGCUAUACACUCAAUCUUAGUAGAGUCCAUAGCCAUAGUACGAUCAUGCAGGACAUGCCCCAAAUAAUGAAUUUGAGAGGAGCCAAAAUAGUAUUUCAUUUUCUUAGCGUACAGCUGAUGCUCUCGAAGUGUAAGAAGCACUGAUCUCAAAUGUUGUAGAUGUUCAGGCCAUGAUGUUGAAUACACAAUGAUAUCAUCGAAGAAAACUAACACAAACCUCCUCAGCCACGGUUUAAAAAUAGAGUUCAUGAGAGCUUGGAAACUGGAUGGAGCAUUUGUAAGACCGAAUGGCAUUACGAGAAAUUUGUAGUGCCCAUCAUAUGUUCGAAACGCAGUCUUGUGCAUGUCCGGUUCCCACAUGCGAAUUGAUGAUAACCUGCUCGUAAAUUCAGCUUAGAAAAUACUAUUGCUUCCCCUAACUCAUCCAAUAGUUCCUCGAUGACAGGAAUGAGAAAUUUAUCCUUAAUCGUAUACUGAUUCAGUUGCCGAUAGUCUAUGCAUAACCUCCAACUUCCGUCCUUCUUCUUAACCAUGACAAUGUGAGACGCGAAUGAACUUGUACUAUCGCGAAUUGUCCCAGCUUGGAGCAUUUCCCUAAUAAGUCUCUCUAUUUUCGUUUUCUGAAAAGCUGGAUAUCGAUAGGGGCGCAUUUUAAUCACAGCAUCCUCAUCCUUAAAAGGAAUUUUGUGGUCGUGUACCCUUCGAGGAGGCAAACCUUUUGGAAUCUAAAAGACAUCCUCAAACUCUCUCAACAGUGUUUGGAGUUGAUUCUCAGAUGCCUCGACCCCCGUGGAAGAAAGCAUAACUUGUUCUGGCAAACUCAAAACUGUUGCAUAAGGUCCCAACGAUUGCCCCACCAACGCAAGACACAUUGAAUCCAUCUCUUGGGCUGCCAGUGCACCAGGAAUAAUGCCUUGAAUAAUACAAGUUUGCUCUCUUAACUGGAAUUGCAUCAUUAAAGAACCAAAAUUCCAUAUAAUGUCUUCUAAAGCCAGCAGCCACUGUACCCCCAAGACCAUGUCACACUCUUUCAAUGACAGCACUAAGAAAUCAAUUUCGAACUUGUGAUCCUGAACCUCCCAUAUAACGUCCUUGCACAACCCUCGCGUGAACAAGCAGCUGCCAUUCGCCACUGAAACUUUAAGUUGUUCUUGGUCGGUCACAGGUAACAACAAUCUAUUAACUAAUCUAGUAUCAAUAAAAUUGUGGGUACUUUUGGAAUCAACCAAGAUGAUAGCCAUACAUGAACCAACUCAGGCAACCACCCUAAUAGUGUUAUGUUCCUGUAGUCCCGUCAAGGCAUGCAACGAAAUAAUAGGAGAUUUGGAACUUUCUUCUUCUAUUCCACUCUCCUCUAAUUUCUCGGAACAUUCUAAAAAUUCCUCUGCCUCACUAUCCGAAACUGGAUAUAGUAGAAAUUGAUACAACUGAGACUUUACACAUUUAUGCCCCACAUGGUAUUUAGCCCCACACCAAAAACAGAGGCCCUUCUGUUUUCUUUCAGCCAUCAACGUUGGAGAUAUAGUACGAGACCCACCUUAGCUGGAGGGCAUAUUGUUGGUAUAUUGUGUUCUCGUCACAGUCCUCGCAGGUGAAAGAGAAUAUCUAGAAACGGUUAACGUGGUGGUUAAAGUUCUAGGUGAACUAGCCCCCCAAGUUGUGUGCCCAUUGCUUGAGUGUGAAAUCAGCACUUCUAUUUUCCUGGCUAACUGAAAGGCUUCCAUUAAAGGAGGAGGUUCGAACAGGUCUAGGUAGUGACCUAUUUCAGCCUUCAGAUUGCUAAUAAAAAUAAUAAGAGCAUAAUUUUCAGGUAGGUGCAAUUGGUUAAAUAAUCCCACAAACAUAUCCUGGUAUUGCUCGAUCGUACCUUGCUGCUUCAGAUUGACCAACUCUCUCAUCGGAUUCCCAAACUGCCCGAACCCGAAUCGAUCUUGUAAACUUUUCAAGUAUGCCAACCAUGACAGCAUGUGCAGACCCCCAUUUCGUUGAGAAUAAAAAUGAUGCCACUCCAACGCCCUUCCUUCCAGAUUCAUCAUUACCACACGAACCUUACUCGCAUCCGGAGUACCCUCCGCCUCGAAGUAUUGCUCCAGUUUGGUCCACCAACCUCUGAAAUCGGUACCAUCAAACUUUGGGCAAUCCAACUUGCUACCCUUCAUCAAAGCGUCCGAUACUAAAGAUUGCUCCCUCACGUGAGCGCUUCUUCCUUCCAUAGCAAAUGGGUCGACCUGAGUGUGUGGCAGUUCGGGGUCCUUAGAAGAAAACCCCGGAGGAGCCCCUAACACCCCCUUCCCUUUGUCUACUGUAACAUUCGUUGGUGAGCUCUUCGGUGGAGGUCCAAAGUACAGACCCAAUACGGCUUGCAAAUCACCUCGAAACUCCUCUUUAAACUCCUUCAAACGAGUUUCCAUUUUCGUCUCCAAAUGACCAAUUUCUUCCUGGAUCUUAGAAAUUUCUUGUUGCAUGCUUACUACCUCUUUCUGUAAGCGGGUCGACACACCAUCGCCAGCCAUUGAAAGGAUCAACUGAGCUCUGAUACCUUUGAUAAGAACUGAAGUCGAGCAGAAAAUUUGAAGAAAAGAAAAGGAAGAAAAGGGAGAAAGAAAAGAGAAAAUAGAUAACAAUUUUCUUCUGUAAUUCGAUAACCUCCUUUCCAUACAGCACAUGCAUAUUUCAAGGAAAAGAAAACAUAACAAACAGUGACGUGGCAUCUUUCAGUUAACACCAAAAUGCACCGUCCAAUUAAAAUUUAAAACUUACCGUUAACUAAUACCCAAAACUCCCCGUUCUCAGUAACUAAAUCAAUUUUAGCUAAUUCUUUUUUUCCCUGCUAUUAUUCUACCCCGUACCAUCAUCCUCGCUUUACACAUUUUGCAAUUUCAAAUAUACGCAGAAAUUGCAACUUUCGUGGCCCAUCAAUUCUUUUUUUCGUGGCCUGGUUAUCUGGAUUGAAGGGGAAUUUUGAUGUGCUAUUCCCUAUGGCCAAUUCAAGAAUGGCUACACUUUUUCAAUGGUAGAAGAAAUGGCGCUGUUACUUUCGCCUCUUUUUUGGAAGCUCUGUCCCCUCUCCAAAGGUUCUCAUUUUCAACCCCUCUUUUACUUUUUUUUAUUUGUGUAAUUUACAAGGUUCAACAUGGAUGGCGUGUUGCAUUUUAUGCUGUUGUUCAAAUUUUGACUAGCCUUGGUUUUUCUCCCCUGUAUUCUUUGUUUCCAAUCAAGUAGGAAGUCUGGUCCUUCGGCAAUUAGGUAUCAAAUGCCAGAGGAUCCAGCGAAGAUCAUUACAAGUUCAGUACCCCCUUUUUAUUCUGUUAAAAUCAAGGAAGCAGGUAUCUGUUCAUAACUUCUCCGGAAUUCAUGGGUAUUUAGUGCAAAAUGGCAUUUGCUGGUGCAGGUGCUGCACCGUCGAGAGUUACAAUGCCCAAAGUAGGUCGCACUGAAUUCAUAUUUGUGUAACUAAAAAUAUCCUCUAUUUCACAUAAACAUCAAAUGUCUUUCCGCAAAAAUUUAAGCAUAGCUACAAUUGUUUAUAUUAACAACUACAUGUUAAUGUUUAAUUACUAUUGCGCCCGCUUUUACAAGAGCUUAAGCAAUGUAAUAUUUUGAGAUAAUAAUUGUAUACUGACUAAAAUGAAGACUACUCUCUCAAAUCAUCAAGAACGCAUGCUGACACUGAAAAGCUAAUGCUUGUUUUGCUGCGCAGGAUUUCAUUUAGCGAUCAUGAUUUAAAUGCUGCCAAUGAUCUGGAAUACAGCCACUGAGAAUCGUAAGUUGUAAUGUUGGACUAUUGGUUAUAUACAAGAUAUAUGUCCUGACAGGAUUGUAGCUAUCCAAAAAGGUAUACUAUUUUCUUAUUGCAAUAUGUAACUCCAGCAUACUAUUAGGAUUCUUUUUUCUUGAUGUUAUGAACUAAAUAUAUAGUUCUCUUCAAUUUUUUCUUCCAUCGUUUACUUUUCCAGAAUUAUCUGUUUUUGACAUGCUUAUUAAUGAUGAAUCAGAAGUGGGUUCAGAAAGAAGUCUGGUUCAUGAAGCUCAUGUUGCAUUUUCAGUUGAAGGUAUGAUACAUUAACAAUUGAGGGAGUCAUUAAGGCAAUAGGUCAUACAGAAGUCGAUUUUCCAAAGAAAACUAAAGGCAAACUUACAUGAACAACUGUUUUUCAUGAAGUUUCCUCUUUCUAUUUGAAAUUUAUCGCUGUUUGAAACGAAGAGUUAAUUUUACGAUUGCUUGUAAGCCAAAUAUUGAACACUGUAGGAAUCACCAGAAGAUAAGUGGAUAACUUCUAAAUAGAAUAGUAGCAAAGAAAGUGGCUAGUGUCUAGAGUAGGAAUUACAGUUACCUUACCCAUUUAGGCUCUAAUUAACCUGCUAGUGCAUCACUAAUGAAGGUAUCUCAACUCUGAUUAAUUACUUGUUUUCUAUGUUAUCAAGAUACUGAUUCAAAUUUCAACAUCCUAAUAACAUAGUAUUACCCAAAUUUAUUCUGGUUUAUCAGGUUUAGGUAAGAUCAGAACAGAGACUCCAUUGCACUCACCAAAGCAAGAGGGCAGGUAAAGGAUAAUCUGCAAGAUCUCUCAUAUUCCCUAUUCACUCGCUAGAUACUUGUCCUAAUAACUGUUAGUUUUAGUUUCCUAAACUACUUUCUGUGUCAUAUUGUUUCCAUGAACUGCAUACUUCAUGAAUCUAUUUUCCAUUUAAAAUGGUACUUCUAUUUGCAAGCAGCAAUUAAUUGAUUCUCUAAAUUCAAAUUUGUGGUUUACCUACAUCAUAAAAGAAGGGAAUAUGAGAUUUCCAAAGAAAAUAAAUAUGUUUAUCACCAACCUGGAAUUCUUUUUGAUAGGCAUGAUAUGAUGUGUAAGAAAAUCUGGUUACACUCCAAAGUUAAUUGUUUAUUGAGGUAUGGACUGGUAAAGUGCAAUAUCACUUAUAUAACUGAUAUGACACAUUUAACUGGUGUAAGAUGUAUUUGAGGUGUGCCUGAGAAUAAUCCUUCUAUCAUUCUUACAAAUUUUUAUUUUUUCCCCUGAAAAGGUGUCAUUGAUAAACUUCCUAGGAAGAUUCCUUUAUUUCAUUUGGCCCUCUAAGCAGUAACCCUCUAAGAAGUAAAUAGUUAAGUUCCUUUCUUGGCAUGAAGUCAAACAGUUUGAAGUUUUUGUACAAACCACUCAAGAGUGAAAAGUACUGAGAGAUUUGUAGUCUUCAGUUCUCAUUUCUUAAUAUUUUCUAUUCUUUUUUAUCUUCUCGUGGACAAUGUUCAACUUACUUUGGUCUAUCACACAACUUAUAUAUUUUAGAUUCUAUGAGACUGACACAUUCUUCAGCAGCUGAGUGCUAAUUUUUUGUUUGAACAAAGUUUAUAUGAUGUAUUUCCUGAUAAACUAAAAGUUAUAGAAUUAAGGAAUGGUCAAAUUUUAUCUAAACAGAUCUUAACUUUAUGCUAUUGUAGAAUCUCUUCUGAUGAUUGCUCAUUACCCUGGAACUUUUCAAGGCAACUAAACUCAUUGAAGGGUUCUAACUUUGUGCUAAAUGAUAUUGAACUAGAAGUGGUGAGAGAACUAAUUGAUACUCAGUUUCUUAUUUCUAUGUUUGCUCUAAAUUAAUCUUUUCCUUGAAAAAUAACCUUCACAUUAAACCUCUUUCUUUUACAACAUUAGCCUCCCAAGAAUAUCAUGUUUGUGAUUAUGCAUCUAAAUGUUGUUUAACCUUAAAUGAUGGAAUUGGACUAUCAAAUGAAAUGCUCGUUUUUUUCUUCAUUUGCUUCUUUUUGCAAAUUGAAUGUAUUAUAUUCUCCUUAAACAUUAAACUCAAGUUUCUUGUCUUAACUUUGGUGGAGAAGGAUUAUUCUUAUCAUGUGCUAAAUGCAGAAUGCUAUGAUGCAGGACAUGGAUGUUCCACUUGGUGGCAAUCCUUUGCAGUUCUCAGUCGAUAUAACUGAUUCACAUGGCAAUUGGAAGCCAAACCUCUCCACUUUUUCUGAUGACAUGCAACUUGACAGCCAUUACAGAAAUAGCAAGUGCUCUUUUGGUGACACUGACAUUUCCUACAACAUAGGAAGGGAAGAUAUAUGGGAUGGUGAGUCUCAGCUUUAGUUGGUGUUGGUUGUUUUUUUCAUGAAUCACAAUUCUUAUUGUUCAUUUUACACAUUGCACCAACUUGUGAUUAAGAUAUUCAGAAAUUCUUUUGCCUAUCUUCAUUUAUUGUUUCAAACAUAGAUUUUAUGUUAGUCAUAUGUAUCUCCUUCAUCAAGUCUGUUUGACUUAAUCAUAAUAAUGGGAAUAUCUCUUGCAGCAGACUAUCAUUCUUGUUCUCUGUGUCAGUAAGUACUAUUUUGAACUAGUUCUUUUUCUCACAAGCUUUUCUCAAAUUUAGACAGCAUUAUACUGUGGAAGGCUUCUCUGGUGCAACAUGUCAUUUUUUUUUUGCUUAUAUGUUUGUCAGCUAAAGUUAAUUACUUGAAUGAUGGCUUUCCCCAUGAAAGGGAAGAUGACAUUUCAAAAUAGAUGGUAAUUCUGGAGAUUUUUUGGAUUAUGAAAAUGGUGAGAUGCCAGAUAAUGCUUUUGAAGGGCAUCACAUGCUGAGGAAAAGUUUAGCAAUCAACAGUGAAUAUUUCCUUGUUCUGAGAGAUAGGAGUUGUUGGAAUCCCUAUAAUUAAGGAUAGAAAUCUGAUGGUAUUAGAAUCCCUAUAAUUAAGGAUAGAAAUCUGUUGUGAUCUCUUGUAAAUAGAAACUAAUCUCAGUUACUGAUUCUUAGGAAAUUAGGAUAUCAAUUACUGAUUCUUAGGGAUUAGGAUUUAUUUCCUUUAAAAUGAUUAUUUUUCUCUUUAUAAAGCUGUAAACUAAAGCAGUAGCAAUAUAACAGAAUUUUUCCUCUGAGUGUUUUUACAUGGUAUCAGAGCUAUAGGAUUCAUUCGGUCCUAUUUUUUUCUCUAAAUUCCCUUACUAAAAAUUUCUGUGGUUUAGUCCUCCUAUGGGUGAUAUCAAUGAGAAUUUCUCUGAAACUGAGACAUCACAAAUAACUCAGAAUAUCAAUCAGGGAAUCACUCAAGGUGAAAUUAAUUCCUCCAUUAUAAUCACCAAUCAUCGGCUAAAUGGGAAGAACUUCUUGCAAUGGUCUCAAUCGGUUCUUAUGGUGAUUCGUGGUCGUGGCAAAUUAGGGUACAUCAAUGGAGAAAUCCCACGACCAACCAUGGCUGAUCCUACUUAUGCCACUUGGGAACUCAACAAUUCAAUUGUAAUGGCUUGGCUAAUCAAUUCGAUGGAAGGCCAUAUAAGCCGCACCUAUCUUUUUUUCAAAACUGCAAAAGACAUGUGGGAUGCAGUCAAAGAAAACUACUCAGAUCUUGAAAACGCCUCCCAAGUAUUUGAAAUCAAGCUUAAGUUAAAGGACAUCCGACAAGGAACACUCGAGGUAACUCACUACUAUAACAAUUUGAAAAUUUUGUGGCAAGAACUUGAUAUGUAUUAUGAGGAAGAUUGGGGUGAAGGCUUAGAACACAAUAGGUUUAUGGUCCAUCUCAACAAUGAACGUCUUUAUGAGUUUUUAGCAGGACUGAACCGUGAGUUAGAUGAGGUCCGUGGCUGAAUUCUGGGUAGAUCACCUCUUCCAACGAUCGGUGAAGCAUUUGCAGAAGUUAGAAGAGAAGAAAAGCGUCGUCUUGUCAUGAUGGGAGAUUCAAAGGAACCUAAACCUAUGACUCCAAUUUCUAAUCGUCCUACUGAAACCUCUGCUCUCAUCUCCAAAGGUCCACAGCCACAAAAACAAUGUGCUGGAAAUGAUUCUGGAUCAACAAGACCAUGAUGUAGUCACUGCAAUCGUGUUGGUCAUACAAAAGAAAAAUGCUUCAAACUCCAUGGCUAUCCUGAAAAAAACAGAAGGAUAAUAAGACUGCCAUGUUAUCCUCCACUACUGCUGAUGAUGUUCUUGAUGUUCGCUUAACCAAAACACAGCUUGAAACUCUCCAUAAGAUACUUGCUACUCCCACUACUCAUGGAUCUCUAGCAACUUAAGGUACUGCCCUCAACAUUGCUUUUGAAUCUAAUAAUCAAUCUCCUUGGAUACUCGAUUCGGGCGCCUCUGGUCACAUGACAGGUGACUCCACGUUGUUUCACACCUACACUCCUUGUCAUAACAAAUCCCGAAUCCGCAUAGCUGACGGUUCUUACUCACCUGUGGCUGGAAUAGGAGAAGUACAAAUGACAUAGAAUUUUUCUCUCGAUAAAGUCCUACAUGUUCCAAACUUGUCCUGUAAUUUACUUUCAAUUAGUAAACUUUCUAAGGAUGAAAAAGUUCUUGCUGAAUUUUCUGCAAUUGGUUGUGUGAUACAGGAACAGAAAUCGGGGAGGAUGAUUGGCACUGCUAAAGUUGAUGAUGGACUAUAUAUUUGGAAUAAAAACAGUACACAAGGGGGAUUGGCUCUAUCCACUGCAAAAGAGGACACUAUUAUGUUAUGGCACCGUAGGUUAGGACAUCCAAACUUUGUGUUUUGAAAAAACAUCUUCCGCUGUUAUUUCGAAAUAAAAGUAUUAAUUCCUUGAAGUGUGAAAUUUUCCAAUUAUCUAAACAUACCCGUGUGCCAUACCCAUUAAAACCACAUAUUCAGUCCCAACCUUUUUCGUUAAUCCAUAGUGACCUAUGGGGAGCCAGCCGAGUGAAAAAUAUUACAGGGGCUAGAUGGUUUAUAACAUUCAUUGAUGAUCAUACUAGGGUCUGUUGGGUCUAUCUACUCAAAGAAAAAUCUGAAACACCCAAAGUAUUCCAAAAUUUUCACUCAAUGGUUCGAACCCAAUUCAACUCUACCAUACAUACCCUCCGUACUGACAAUGGGAAAGAAUACUUCAACUCUGUCUUAAGUCUAUACCUUUCUGACCAAGGCAUUAUACACCAAAGCUCUUGUCCUGACACUCCUCAACAAAACAGGAUCUCUGAGAGGAAAAAUCGUCAUCUUCUUGAUGUGGCUCGAGCCAUAAUGUUCACUAUGAAUGUUCCAAAAUACUUGUGGGGAGAAGCUGUCCUUACUGCCUGCUAUCUCAUAAACCGAAUGCCAUCAAAGAUCCUCAAUUUCCAAACACUUCUAAAUACUCUUUUAAAGGCCUUCCCUCUAUUUCAUGUCCCUAAUCUUCCAGCCAAAAUAUUCGGUUGUAAAGCUUUUGUCCAUAACCAUCAACCAAAUCAAUCCAAACUUGAUCCUCGAGCCCACACCUGUAUCUUCAUUGGAUAUUCCCCUACACAAAAAGGCUAUAAGUGUUACUCACCAACAUUGCGCCGAAUGUUUGUCUCUCGAGAUGUUACCUUCUUUGAAAAUGAACCAUACUUUGCAGCAUAUCAUCUUCAGGGGGAGAUUUUUAAUGAAGAUGAGACCCUUAAUACUCUCCUCAUUAUACCGCCUGAUCCUACUACUACUAUCCCAGAUUUAGUUGUUUCCCCUAUACAGCAAGAAUUUAACACCGUCCUUCCCAAUGACAAUACCUCCACCGAAGUACAACAGCCACUUGAUCAAGGAAAACAGCAAAUACAGGUUUACUCCCGACGGAAUCGUUCUCCUGAAACUGAUACAGCAGUGCCAAUUACAUCUCCAACCGAGGACUAUUCUGAAACAGAAGUCCCACCUCCGUCACCAUCCAUCUAUCUUCCAAUUGCAGUUCGAAAUGGUACAAGGAGCUGCACUCAACAUCCUAUUUCUCGGUUUGUAUCCUAUAAAAAUUUAUCUAAGUCUUACAAAGCUUUUGUGACUAAUGUUGAUUCUGUAAAAAUUUUAAAAAAUAUAGAAGAGGCUCUUGAAUCAGCUGAGUGGAGACAAGCCGUGAUGGAAGAAAUGAAGGCCCUCAAAAACAAUGAAAUAUGGGAAGUCUCGGAUCUGCCUAAAGGGAAAAAAACCGUAGGGUGUAAAUGGAUUUUCACUACGAAAUUUAAACCCGAUGGCCGUAUUGACCGAUACAAAGCUCGACUUGUGGCUAAGGGAUUCACCCAAACUUAUGGUCUCGACUACAACGAGACGUUUGCACCGGUUGCCAAGCUAAACACCGUUCAGGUCCUGCUAUCUCUUGCUGCCAACCUUGAUUGGCACUUGACUCAAUUGGAUGUAAAAAAUGCUUUUCUCAACGGGGAAUUAAAUGAGGAGGUGUAUAUGGAUUUCCCACCAGGGUUUGAAGAAAACAAGGACCAAGUGUGUAAGUUGAAGAAGUCCUUGUAUGGGCUGAAACAAUCUCCACGAGCGUGGUUCAGCCGAUUUGCAAAAGCUAUGACUAGCAGAAAUUACAUUCAAGGACAGGCAGACCACACCAUGUUCUACAAGCACUCGGAAGAGGGUAAAUGCUGCAUCCUUAUCGUUUAUGUUGACGAUAUAAUAAUAACAGGAAAUGACUCGAGCGAAAUUUUGAGAUUGAAAGAAUUUAUUGGUACAGAGUUUGAACUUAAAGACUUGGGAGUCUUAAAUAUUUUCUUGGUAUGGAGGUAGCAAGGUCGAAAAAAGGUAUCUUCAUUUCCCAAAGGAAAUAUGUUCUUGAUCUACUGUCGGAAGUUGGUUUGAUGGGCAGCAAACCAGCCGAAACUCCUAUGGAGUUUAACCUCAAAUUGGAAACUAAUGAGGAUGGAGAAGAAAUCGACAGGGGGAGAUAUCAACGUCUAGUAGGAAGGCUCAUCUACCUAUCUCACACCCGUCCAGACAUAGCCUUCAGUGUGAGUGUUAUUAGCCAGUAUAUGCAUGCCCCGAGGGAGAAGCACCUGGAAGCUGCAUAUAGAAUACUAAGAUACCUAAAAGGAACUCCUGGUAAAGGCCUAUACUUCAAGAAGACUAUCAACCGAAGCGUGGAAGUCUACACUGAUGCAGACUGGGCAGGUUCUGUUAAUGAUAGACGCUCUACAAGCGGCUAUUGUAGUUAUGUUUGGGGUAAUCUCGUGACGUGGAGGAGCAAAAAACAAUCUGUGGUAGCACGCAGCAGUGCAGAGGCAGAGUAUCGAGCACUAUCUCAUGGUAUAUGCGAAUGAGUUUGGAUACAAAGACUUACGGGAGAACUAAAAGUGCCUUUUACCAGACCUAUGAAGAUGUACUGUGACAACCAGGCUGCUGUCAGCAUAGCACAUAAUCCUGUGCAUCAUGAUCGGACCAAACAUGUGGAAAUAGAUCGUCACUUUAUAAAAGAAAAAGUACACUCAGGAGAAGUAUGCAUCAUCUACCUACCUACUAGACAACAAGUUGCAGACAUGUUAACCAAAAGUUUGAACAGAAACAUGUUUGAAGAACUUAGUGGCAAGCUGGGUUUGAUUAACAUCUACACUCCAACUUGAGGGGGAGUGUUGGAAUCCCUAUAAUUAAGGAUAGAAAUCUGAUGGUAUUGGAAUCCCUAUAAUUAAGGAUAGAAAUCUGUUGUGAUCUCUUGUAAAUAGAAACUAAUCUCAGUUACUGAUUCUUAGGAAAUUAGGAUAUCAAUUACUGAUUCUUAGGGAUUAGGAUUUAUUUCCUUUAAAAUGAUUAUUUUUCUCUUUAUAAAGUUGUAAACUAAAGCAGUAGCAAUAUAACAGAAUUUUUCCUCUGAGUGUUUUUACAGGAGUAUACCUUUUCUUUUUGAUGAAUUCAUUACAUCUAUGCAGGGAUGUCAAAGCAACAAAUUUGAAUAGUUUAGGUGCUAUUUCUCAUUCAAUUUAUGGAAUAGUUUAGCUCAACACUUCUUAUUUAAUAUUAACAGGACAAAUUAGUUUAUAAUUAUUGCUUUCUGCAGAUGCUAACUUUGAACACAAAUCAUUAUAUGGCGUCAUCCCUUUGUGUUUUAAGAAUUUGGAGUGCUCUACUUCACUUACUGAGAAUUUUCUGUGGGGGGAAUCUCCACAUUCUUGGGAUGAUUGUUGGCUCAAGUUAUCUCUAAGAGGGAGGUGUUAAAUGUGAAAGUGUGUGGUUGCUGUAUUUCUUUCAUGUUAUUAUUCUUUACUUGAUGUUUCUAUGAUGAGAAUUGUGAUUAAGAAUGUUUUCUAUCCACCUCUAAUUCUUUUUCUCUUUCCACAAUCAGAUCCUUCUCCAAAGCAUUUAUCAUCAAAAGUUGGUCAUGAUUUGACAACUUUAAUUGGGGAAAGGUAUGAAAUUUCCCUCCAAAGGUAUGAAAUUUCCCUCUAAAUAGAAAGGUUGCUUUGAUAUAGCGGCAGGUAUAACCCAAUUCAAACGAAUUAUGAUAUAAGAGAUUUGCCAGCCCAACCAUGUUGGCCUUUUUUUGAGACUGAAGAUGCAAAGGAUAGCUUGAGCUUGCUGAGGUAAAUUAUAGAAACUUUUUAUUGCAAGGUGAUUUAAUUGGAUGGUACUACUUUAACGUACAUGUUCUCUCUCUCUCUCUCUCUCUCUCAAGCUUUAGCAGUGAAGAAUCAUGCUCUUCUAGUGCAGGUUACGUUUGCUUUCAUAAAUUGCUUUGACAAUUCAUUGUCAUUUUGUAGUCUUUAACGAAAAGCUCCUCUUGUGAAACUAAAGCAACCUCUUUCGAAACUAAAGCAAUCAUUUAAAAUAUUUAAUUGCAGUGAGGGGUGAAACGAUAAACAGUUCACCUCCAAAUCUAAUGGCUAGGCAGAGCAGAAGAGUAAGUAGUCAUUUGGUAUGACCAGAAUGAAGUAUGAUCUGGACGAUGAUUUUGCCAAGGAAACACGUUGCAAAGACAGAGAUAAUCUUGGGCAACCAUCUGGAAAAUAUACGAGGACUCCAGUUCUGCACAAGUCAAGAGCAACCAAGCGUGCAAGCUAUUGUCUCCAAGGGGAAAUAGAACUAUCUCAGAAAUGGUUGCUUGAGGAAGGAUGCAAUUCAGUUGAUAUAGAUUUGGGUUUCAGUUCUUCCCAUUGCACCUCACAGGCAAACCUUCCAUCUGUAGGAUCCUGGCUGUGGGCUGAAGAUCCUAUUGGUGACUUUCCUGUUCCCGUACUGAAUCUUGAUGUCAAAUCUUGCUUUAAUACACCUAAGCAGAGUGAAUCUAUUCACUGUUCGCCUUUUAGCUGUUUCACCUCUGAGAAGUUUGCUUUUUGCCAAUCAUUGAAUCACACUAACUCUUUUGAUUCUCCAGUAUUCUGGAUCAAUCAGGCGUGUCCUAUCUCCAGAUUCAGGAAGACAAGUGUUCCUUUGGGUUUGUUUGAUGCUGGUCAGUAUAGAGAGAUUGGAUUUCUUGAUUUAUCAUCAGUACAAGGACGAAUUAAUGGAGACGAUAAAAGAAAACCAAAACCCCACCAGCAAACUGCGAACAGUUAGAAUUUGAAAUGGAAAAUUGCCUUCAAAAUGAUUUAUUAUUUUCAAAAGGAGCACAUAGUAAUGGGUGGUUCAAAUCCCAAUAGCAAGGAGGAUGAAUUCAAGGAAGUAAAAGAUGGAACUCUAGAAAAAAAGGGGAGCCUUGGUGUGGAAACAUCAUCAUCUGUUAAGAUCCAUGAGAAAGGAGAGAGCAAAAGGUAACUAUAACCUACUCAGAAUUCAUCUUUCCAAUUUGCCAUAACUUUUUUUCCUUGCCCUCUGUCAAGUAAGAUGCUGAGAUAAGGCUUUUCAUUGCUGCUAGAUAUGAGUGAUGUAGAAAUUCCACUUCCUUGUCAAAGCGAGACAGAACAGAAUGUAUAUCUUCUUUUAAUAUAUAUACAUAUAUGCAUAUUAAACUUUGAACUGCCAUUAGAUGUUUGCUUGAUGUUCUGGAUUCAUAUAUAACGUUUGAAUCAGAGCUCAAUGCAGGAACAGAAAUGAAAGGAUUCUAAGCAGGUGGGAAAGCUAGCUAUGUUGUUCAAUUUGUUUAGCCAGAGAAAGUUGCAAGGAAAGGAAACAUUUGAUUAUGCCUUGCCUUGUACAUUAUUAUAACUUGAAAAAUGUCUAACUAGAAUAAAUACUAAUAGAGUUGGAGAUUGGGUAACAGGGGAUGCUGAUUCUCUCUAAUCGAUACACUUUUAAGUAGCAGAAAAUGGUUAAGAGGCAACACUGUUUUUUUUGUUAACUGCCUAGAAUUCAACUAAGCUCUUUUGCAAUUGCUAUUGCUAAUCCCAGCAAGUACUCAAUCUGUCAAUGUGUAAUAGUUUAUCCCAUUAACAAAUAAAAGGAAAAAACUUUAGGAAUUCGGAGAGGAGGCAAUCGUCUCAGCCCCGCCACCGUCAUACCUUUCUUCCUCCAAUCAAUAACUAUUUUUGCUUUUUGGGGUUAAUUUUUAACGCUUCAAAUCAAAUAUUAAAAAGGUUUUUUCUUCUUCGUUAUUUAGCGAAGAAGAAAAAGAAAAGAAUGGGAGGUACUUCAAGGCAGUGUCAAGUUUGCAACCAAGCUUAAUCCAAGUACAAGUGCCCCUCUUGUCUUAUUCCUUAGUAAGUUCUUCAGCUCCCUUCCAUUCUUUUGCUGUUUUUAUUUCUGGGUUUUUAAUUUGUUUAUUUCCCUUUUUCAUUUUUUUCAGCUGUUCUCUAGCACGUUUCAAGACACACAAAGGUAUAACACCCAACAAUUCUUUUUUUUUCUCCCCCCCCCCCUUAAUUAUUCUAUUUUUAUCUUUAUUUCUUAAUUUCUGUUGAUAAAUAUUCGAAUUUUGCUUGAUCUUAUUGCUUUUGAUCAUUGGGAUUUUGUUGGCUUAAUGCUUUCUCAUCGACUUAUGUUCUAAACUUCUAAUAGUGGAGUUGAAUACGUGUUGGCUAAAAGAACUGAACCAAUGGUGAAUUGUCUCAAGUUUUUGUUGAAAAGAUUAAAAGGAAAUUUGGGUUUAUUGUCCUUUUUGACCUACUUGCACUUCGUAGUUAAAUUCAUAAGGUUACAUUGUUUUUGUGAUACUAGAAAUGGGGAACUAAUGUGCUUUAAUGAAUGAUGCAGAAACUCACUGCAUAAAGCCGGAAUCCGUAAAUGAAAAAUCCGGUUAGAACUUUCCCUCGACUGUAUGUUCCUUAAUCAACUCCACAUUUUUUCCUAAUCAAGCAUGCUUGUGUUUUAAAUACAUUUGAUGUUCUAAUGCUACAAAAUAUGCAGAUGCAGGCUAUUGGUAUAUAUUUUUUAAUCUAAUCGUAGCUUGGUUAUCUUUAGUAAAAACCUCCUUAAAGUGGGGGAAGUACGCCACUUGAGCAAAUGUUUGAAAAAGAAUCCACUCCUUAUUAUAAUUUAUGCACUGGCAUCUCGUUGAUAUUGGCCAACCCAAUCAAGAUAUCGAAGUGCAAUAAAAUGCAAAAUGUAUGAAGGAAAGCUGUCAUAAUAUCUGUAAUUAACUUGGAAAUAUAGUGUCAUGGAAAUGACUGCAUUAAUUGGAAUUGCCAGUAGAUCUUUUGCUUUCGAUAAGAAUUCAAUGUAUCCAUGGGAGAAAUACUGAAAUCUCAUACAGAUAUCUUAGAGCUCAAUAUAUCGAUGAUGGUUAGAGAUGAUUCAAAGGUUGUAAUGCGUUAAAAGGAUAUCCGAGGGUAUUGUGGGGGACUUCUGGUAGAAUAUUUUUUGCAUUUUAUAGUAGGCCGAUUGCAUUGCUUUUAGCUAGAUUUGGUCUGCAUGCAGUUUUAUGUCGGGUCCCAAAGCAUUUUUCCACAUCAGGUAAAUUGAUUCUCAGGGGCUCAUUGUACAUCAGAUUGAGUUGUAUGGUAGAGGCUUAAAUGCCUUCCAGCUUAAGAUAACUAGCUUGUAUGAUCAAAAUUUUUUCAUUAUCUAUAUGAUGUUAGAGCCAGAGAACCUUUAGACAAACUGUCUUGAUGCCGAAUCUGGUUAAUUCGCUUCACACUACUAUUUAUAUCUACAAUGUUCUCUCAUGCAGCUUCUUCCAAUGAAGUCCGUGAAGCCUUGAAGGAUGAACACCUUCAAAAACUUAUCUCUGAUAUUGAUAGCUCCCCAGAUGCAUUGAAUGUCAAUGAUGUUAUUCCCACUUUGAAAACCAAGACCUGAGACUUAUUUUCCUUUUUGCUGAUGUUGUUUGUCGCGUACUAAAUCGUGUUUUUACUUUUUGUUAGGAACUCGACAAAGCUAUUGGACUAGAUGUUUUUCGCAUUUUCAGUGAUAAGGUAUCUUAUCAUCUUCAACCAGUUCCGUCUUCUAUUUCUACUUUAACAAUAUUCAUAUUUUCUUCUUCACCUGUUGGGCUUCUGUAUAAUUACACUAUUGUUGCUAAUCAGAACUUGGUAAUGCCCGAAGUUUAACUUUCUAUUGUUUUCUCUAUCAUCAGAUUUUAUCCGCGAUCAAUCAAUGACCGCAUAUCAUAAUGCCUCUGAAGUUCUUUCUUCGAAUACAUCGAUGCCAAUAUAUUUAUGUCCAAGUUUUGCUGCGAGCUCAGAUGAGAAAUCAUCCCGCUGUCUCUGAGCCUGGUCAGUGGUCGAUGUUUCUGUAAGUUUAGUAUUUUGGUUAAUCGUUAUUCAUAUUUUUCUUGUGUUGUGUAUCUUGUGUUAGUUUUCAUCUCGACGAAAAUGUCUGAUGGCCUUCAUGUCUUUUCUUUUUACAGUAGAUCCCUACAAUUUCGUUAUCUCUUUCAACCCACUGUUAAAUUUUUUGUUCUUCCUAUGAAUGGUAGUAUUAUCAUUAACACUCAAGCUUUACGAGAUAUGAUGUUUCAAAUAUAAGUAAAAAUUUAUUGUUCCAAAUCCGGCAAUUGGUUAAAAUAGAGCUUAAAUCCUUCAAGGAGGAUCUAUUAUUGUCAUAAUUAGUAACACUAAAACCCCAACCCAAUUUGCACUUAUUUUAAAUAAAAAGAAAGAACAAGAAAAAGAUUAUAUAUGAUUAUAGAAUGUAAAUCAUGUAAAUAUAUAAUUUUUGUUAAAUAUUGUAAUGGUUUAAUUUUACUUUUCAUUCUUAUGAGCAUAAGAUUAAGAAUAUUAAUUCAAUAAUUGAUGUUAAUAUGUAUUUGAUUGGUUGGAAAGGUAAAUAGAUAAAAAUUAAGCUAAUAAUGAUUGAUGAACUAUUAACCUAAUGUAUCACUAAAUUUAUUAUAUCAAAUUAUAAAUUUUUUAAAAGGUAAAAAAUUAAGAGGGACUAAAUAUAUAUUUACCCUAUUUAAAAAAUGUAUGGUAUGUAAAGAAGUUUAAAGAAUUCAAGAGGGGAAAAAUAGAAAAUGUUCAUUUUCUGGAAUAGGAUGCUAAAAAUUGGGGAAGAAUUUGAAACUUUAGGGGGCCCAAACAUGUAAGUAUUCCAAUUUUGAAUGGGAUACCACAAGCUAGGGAGCUUCAAAAUUUUAGGGGCUAGUUCCCUGUGAACCCCUCUGGCUCAAUAGUUUUUGGGUGUAGCCUGGAUCGACUCGAUUUUAAUAUUAAAGUAAAAUUAUUUUAAAAUUUUAAAUAAGCACUUGAUUUUAAUAUUAUAACAUAACUGAAAGAAAAACAUAUACUCUGCAAUGUCCCAGCUAAUAUAUUAAAAAAAAACCUUUUAAACUACUACAUUUUGAUUAAACUAAAUAUAUCUUGAAUUGAUCAUAUAUCUUGAAUUGAGCUUAUCUUGAAGAUGUUUGUGCUCUUGUUGCUGACAGUGUGGACUAGAUGCCAAUGCAACUGAUAGGGUGCUUCGUCGAUCUUCCAAGCCUUCUCUAUACACAAAUAUCGACUGCAAUGCACUAUCUGCCGCUGUCAUUUGUAGACAGAUCUCUAUUGUUAGAUCACUUUUGCAGGUAAGCAUCUCAGAACAUAGUCGAUCAUGAUCUGUAGCUUCCCUUCAUUGGAGUACUAGAAUUUUUUUUGAAUUUGCACUCUUUGUUGCAUGGGAUUUAAAGUGCUAUAUAUGUAUAAGCUUAUGAAUCAAGUUUUUCCUUGCUUACUUAUCUGCAGAGUGUUCUUAAAUGGUAUUUCUAACUUUUUCAAAACUGAUGAUCAGGCUGGCAUCAAGACGGACUUAAAGGUGAGAGUUGGAGCUUGGUCUUGGGAUAUUGAUACAGGCGAAGAAACUAGGGUCGGUGCUGGACUAGCUGAAGCUUAUUCCAUCACAUGGUGCGCUGUCGAGUAUUUUGAAGUCAGUGGUUCCAUCUUGCGGUUGCUGCUUCGACACAUCUCCCCAAACAACCUUCACUAUGGCAGGACCUCAUCCACCGUGCCAUCUUAUGCAACAAUGUAUCAGCUGUUGAAGUGCUUCUGAAUUGCGGCGCCGACAUAGAAUUUCCAGUUAAAACAACUUCCAAAACAGCAUUACGCCCCAUACAUUUGUCUGCAAAACUAGGAUUUGUUGAAGUUCUUCAAUGCUUCAUUGUAGCUGGUUGUGAUAUCGAUUCUCGAACAGCUUUUGGAGAUUCCUUGCUUAUGAUUUGUGCUAGAUACAAACAUGGGGAUUGCCUUAAAGUACUGGCCUCAGCUGGGGCUGACUUUGGAUUGGUAAACUCCGCUGGCCAAAGUGCAAGCUCCAUUGCAGGGUUAACCAGAUGGAAUCAUGGCUUCCAACAAGCAGUUCAAGAUGUGAUUCUAGCCGGGAAGACACCUCAAUCAAGCAACCCCUCUGUAUUUUCUCCUUUGAUGUUCACUGCCCGUGGAAAUGAGAUUGAAGCUUUGAAGAAACUCCUUGAAAGGGCAGAUGUUGAUCUUUACGAACAAGAUGACGAUGGAAAUUCAGCUCUGAUGAUUGCUGCAUCAGGAGGCCAUUUGGAAGCCUUUGAGUUGCUUCUUCGUGCUGGUGCUAAUAUAAAGUUGUCUAACAAAUACGGUGAUACUUCCAUAAGCUUAUUGGAGUUAAAUCAGAAGGGCGAUGUAUUCAACCAACUAAUGCUGGAGUAUGCACAUGAAGACGGAAAUGGUCCCAUUGGGUUUUAUGCUCUACACCGUGCAGUAAAACGCGGAGACUUGAAUUUAGUUCACAUAUUAACUAGUAGAGGCUACGAUGUUAAUGCAUUUGAUGCUGAUGGAUACACCCCCCUAACGCUAGCAGCAAGAGGAGGUUAUGGUGGAGUCUGUGAGCUUCUAAUCUCUUGUGGUGCAAAAUGCGACAUAAAAAACGCGAGGCACGAAACAACUCUAUUGCUUGCGAGGAAAAAAUGGUAUGGAAACGAUACGGAAAUUGUCAUUCUGAAUGAGCUUGCUCGAGCUCUGGUUGUGGAUGGAAGCCAAGUGAAGAAGCACAGUAGGGGUGGUAAAGGAUCACCUCAUAGCAACGUACUGAGGAAGAUGGAGACCAGAGGCAUUCCGCGAGGGGGCAAAUCAAGUAGGAGAAAUGUGAUAUGCAAAGCAGCUGAGGUCGGUCCAGGUGAAAAAUUCCGAUGGAAUCGGAGGAGGAAGUUCGAUGUGGAAGAAUCGGGCAUGUUCCAUGUGGUGACUACAAAGAACAAUGAGGUGCAUUUCGUGUGUGAUGGUGGGAUUCAAAUGGCUGAACUGUGGGUGAGAGGGAUUCUUCUUGUGACAAGUGAAGCCAUUUUUGGCAAACCAAAACAAGUGUAAUUUUUGCUGAUCAAAUGAAAUUUUAUUCGAUGUUACUUUUUCCACAAUAUAUCCAAUUUCCACAACUUGGAAUUUAUAUAAAUCAUUUUAUGGAAAUUACAUUGUUGAACCAAAAAAAGAUUAUAUAAUUAUAAAUAUAUAAUAUUAAAUUAAUGGUAAAAUUAGUAACAUGUUUAUACAAAAAUUCAAUUGAAAUAUUAUAUAAAGAAAUUGCUCUUAAUUCAUCUUAUUUAUUUAUAUAUACAAUAGUAUAUUUGAUAUACUUAUAGUGUACUUUUUUUUAUUCCAUAAGCAGUCUUGAAAAAAUGGUCAUGUCUUUUUUUUAAAGAUAAAUAUUUUAUUAUACUCCUAUGCGAUAUUUAUCAACUCUUUAACUUGUGAAAUCUGAAAAUUCUACUGAUUUUCUCUUAUAUAAAUGCGUAAAAAAGAAAUAAAUAAAACAAAAAUUAAUUAUAAUCAAAUCUUCAAAUAAAAAUUACAUCAUUUCAAUUUUUUCUGUAUGCUUCUGCUAAUAGAUUUGAUAAGAGGGUUAUAAAAAUUCAAUUGAAAUAUUAAUAUAUAAAAAAAUGCGUUUAGCUGUAAAAAAUAAAUAAAAAUUAAUUAUAAUCUUCAAAUAAAAUCAUAUAAUAUAUAUAAUAUAAUAAGGUACAUAGGUUAUAUAUGCGAGAAGUGAUUAAUUUCUGUAAUUAUAAUUAUAAUUAAAUAUAUCUUUGAAAUGUAAAUGGUUGUCUUAAUUUCUUAAAACCAAAACUUUACAUAAUACAUGCAUAUUCAUUGGUUGUUGUUUUUUUUUAAUUAUUUUUUAUAUGUUGAUUUUUAUAUUAAUAAGAACCAUUCAUGUUUAUACAUAAUCAUGCAAUUAAGAAUUAUCAGAAGAUAUAUUCGAAGUCCUUUAUUAUGGUCUGGUUUACUUUUUAAUAUUUUUAUUUUCAACAACAAAAUAUUUCAUACUUUUCUAUUAAUUUUGAUAUAACAACAUUUAAGAUAAAUGUUUAUUUAAAUUCCUAAGUCGUUGAUAAAAAUAAUUACUAAAAAUUUUGUUAAACAUUUUCAAAGACUUGAAAAAGUACUCAAAAACAUGUUCUAAAUGUGUUUUAAUUUAUUUAAAUGUUUUUAAGUGCUCAUUUUGUUCAAGUCUGAGAAGUUGUAUCAAUACUUGGAGGAAGUUAUACCGACAGAAGCAAGUCAGAGAGUACCUCAAGCAUUCCUCUAGACUUUUACCAAAUACUCAAGGGGACUUUACCGAUACAAGUCCACUUCUACUAUACAGGUCCACUUCUACCCAUACAUCUUGUGAGUUGUAUUGAUACAAGUCUAUCUACAAUACUUCAAACGUUUAGAAACUAUCCCAAGGGCUAUAAAUUGUUAGAAAUUUUUACCUUGUUAUAUAUGCACAUCAAGAUCACUUCAACAUACAAGAGAUGAACAUCCAAUCAUAGAUAUCAAGGCAAAACCUUCAAUUCUUUAUUUUAUUUAUUUUCUCUUGUAUAUAUUCAUUGAUAGCAUAUUGUAAUAUCUUUUCUCACUCUCAAAUCUUUGUAUUUAGAGCUUCAAUUUGUAAAUACACACCUAUUAGAGGUUCAUUGUUAGUUUUCUCAUCAUCUAUUUGUUGUGAAAAGCUUACUUAAGGCUUUUGUGGUAUAAAACCUUAAGUAGAUUGUAAAAGGUUUCUAGUUGAGCCACAAAAGCUAGAUGGUUUUAGUUUAGCCAUAAAAACUAGGGGAGAAGUUCUAUCUUAACCUCGUGAAAAAGAUAGAGAUUGAAAGGUUAUACAUUUUCUUGGAAAGGUAAUAAUUCAAGUAUAGUGAAUUGGAAAAGCCUUUGUUGAUGUAUACCAAGGUAGUUGAGGUAAGUAAUUAGGGUCAAACCACUAAAUGAAAUUUUCUAAGCUUUUUUUCCCUUUCCUCAUCAUUUAGAAAAGUUUGCAAAGAUUUUUAAAAAUACCAAUUCACCCCCUUUUAGUAUUUUCGGGCCUAAUAAUGGAUAUCAGAGUUUAGUCUUCAUCAAAGGUUUAACCACCAGGAGCAAAAAUUUGAGGUGGAAAAUAUCGAGUUUAGAUGAAAUUUAAGUCAAGGUCAACAAUUUGCAAGAAGGUGAUUCCAUCAUGUGCCCUCAACUCCUAAAUGAAGAAAAUCAUUCCAAUUGGAAAGUGAUGAUGAAAUUAUUUGUCCAAGCAUUUGAUUAUGAUAUUUAGAGGAUUAGCUCAAGGGGUCCAUUGGAGGUACCCAAGGAGGAAGAAAGAUGAGAUGGAAAUGACAAAACAAAGGCUCAAUCCAACUCCAAGGUUAUGCACACACUCCUUUGUGCUAUUAGUGAAGAAGUCUUCAAUAAAGUUUCCUCAUGUGGAAGUGCCAAAGACAUAUGGAGUAUACUUGAAUACAUCUAUAGAGACAAGAAGGAAGAAAAAGAGACCAAGAAACCUUAUAAGAGAGAAAGUUCAACUAGUGACGAGGAAAGCAAAGUUGAGUAACCAGGUGAAAGCUUCCCCACAAAUCCAAAGGUGAUGUGUCUUUUGGCUCUUAAAGAGUACAAGGUGUCUUCUAGUUUAUAUAAUUUAAAUUCAUAUUUAUUUGAUGAGCUACAAGAUGCUUUCAAUGAGUUAGCAUUAGAAUUUGAGACCAUGAAUUUCAAAUACAAGAAAUGAUUUUAAAAUUCAAAAUUCAAAAUUUAAUUUAGAAAGCCAAAAUGAAAAUUUUAAAAUAAAUUUUGAGACUUCCCAAAACAAAAGUUAAUUUUUUUGAAAAUAAAAAAUUUGAGUUGAAAAUGAAAUUUGACAAUUUAAAAAAGGAAAAGAAAAUCAUAUUGGAAAACUCUUAGGAUGUUCAAACAUGGUUUGUAGAUUAUUUGGUUAAUUUCAAUCUGAUCAUGCUUGAAGAUGUUAAUAGGAUGUAUGCAUAUUAGAACAUAUUACAUUUUUACACAUCCUAGAAGGAGCAUACAAAGCUUAAUAAUUUUGUUGUUAAAAAAAAUUAUUUGUGCAAUAUAUAUAUAUUUGAGUAAGUGACUUUUGAUAAAAUGGUUUGAACAUUUUGAGAAAUUUCUUUGAGCUUGCUUAGAUAAAGAAGUUUGAAAAACUUGCAAUAAUUUGGGUUCUAAUAUUUUGAAUGCACAUUUAUAAGACUUUUUGAGCUUAAGUGGUCAAUUUUUUAUGUUAGUGAUUUAUGGACACGGAAAUCAUUUAGACACACUUUAAGUGAUUACAAAACUUCACUAAAGAGUUUUGAAAUGAUAUUUUAACAUGUUUGUCCAAUUUGAGUCCAAUUUCAAGAAAAUGUAUACAUUCAAGAUUUAAUUUUUACAAUUUCCUUAUUAAUUACGCCAUUUGAUUACUUGAACAAGUUUGUUUCAUUGUUUGGAAGUUGUUGGAAAAGUUCCAAGUUAAUUAAAAAUGUGAUUUUAAAUUUUUAACUAUUUGAAUGCUCGUUUUAAAAGCAAAAAUGAAUUCUAAAAUUAUUAAAGUUAAGUUAUAUAUAUUUAAAAUAUAAUUUUUAUGAUAAAAAAAUAUAUAAUUUUUAUAUUUUUUUAUUAUCUAUUAAAUUAUAAAAGUUUAUGUUUGAAAUAAAUAGUUAAUUAGAUAAACAAAAAUUUGAAAAGAUAGUUUAUUCAUUUAAUUUAAUUAAAAUAUAUUAUAUUAUGAAAAAUAUUUUAGUAUAAUGCAUGAAUAAAUUAAUAAAAUUAUUUAUACCCCAAUCAAUAAAAUGAAUAUUUUAUACCAGUAAUAUGAGUAACCCAUGCAAUUAGGUUUCUCUAAUAAUUUUAAAAAUAUUAAAUUCGUCUGCCUUUUGGUACGUGUUGUUGGUUUUCUCUAUAUGAAGUCUAUAUUUUUGUGGUUUUCUGCGGUUUGGGUCUGUUCUUGUGUUUUUAGUCUGAUUAUGGAAGAAGAUAUUGCUGGUCUCACUCUUCAGGAUGACGAGGAUGAUGCGUGGCUAGUUGAUUCUGGUGCUUCGGAACCUGUAGCUGGGUUUGAUUUCUAUUUGGUGGGUUGCUUUUUGACUGCUAUUGUUGUCCGUUUUGAGGCAAGGCGAACCACCGUGGCCAAUUUGUGGCACUUAAUUGAGGGAAUUUCUAUUUUUUAUUUGGGUGAGAAGCGUUUUCUCUUUUGGUCUUAUGUUGAAGUGGAUAUUGCACGGGUUAUUCAGGGUAGCCCUUGGACCUUUAGCAACCACUUACUUGUGUUUCAUUGAUUGGAAAAAGGGGAGGACCCCCUUCAAGUCUCGCUGUAUUAUGUUGAUUUUUGGGUUCAAAUUCAUGACCUCCCCAUUGGGUUCUACAACGAGCAAUUGGCCAGGCAAUUUAGAAAUUUUCUUGGGACAUUUUUGGACUAUGAUUCCAAGGCUCUUUUUUUUGGUUUACAGAAAUGUUUGCGGGCACGGGUUGAUGUCUAACUCCCAUAGAAGCGAAAUAAGCAUUUUGUUCUUUCUCAUCACCAAUAUGUUUAUGCCCGUUUCUAGUACGAACGAUUGACACUUUUUUGCUUCCUUUAUGGAAAACUGGGUCAUGGUGAGAGUUUUUACCCAAUUCGGUUGACCUUUGGGGCGAAAGAGGUUCUAAUGAGAUGGGAUGUGUCCUUGAGGGCAACGCCACAUUGACUCAGGCCCAGACCAGUGUUUGGCUUCGUCAUGUGCAUGUUGUGGGAGUUCAGCUAUCUAGGGGCCUGUAACACCCCUAACCCAUAUCAGUCAUCGGAAUAGGGUUGCGAAGCAUUACCAGAGUUUACAUUUCAAAACUAUCAAAAAUAUAAAUCAUUUACUUCACAACAUCAAUCAUAGCAAAUUCCAUCAAUAACAUACAUAUUGUCCCUUAUACAAGCCCUCAACGCCCUAAAAAUACAUUAGAAAAAAAUCGGGACUAAAUCGAAAACAUUUAGAAUUUUUUGGGAAAAUAUGAAAAUUUUCAAACUGCAGGGGUCACACAGUUGUGUGGCUAGGCCGUGUAACUGCCUGACUUGCAACCCUUAGUAAGCUACAAGGGACACACGGCUGAGACACACUCCCGUGUCUCUAGUCGUGUGGACGAAAAAUAUGUCAUUUCCAAGCCAUUUUUCUUCCCCAAUCAUGCACACACCUAUAACCAAUUUUUCCACAUGUAAUCAAGCAUUCAAAAUGCAUCAACAAGCUAAAUCAAUAAGGUAUAUAUAUUCACACAACUAAUAUGUUCAAUGGGCACCUCAAAUCACAUCAAUCAUACAUGUAUAACUAAAUGUUUAAUUUAGCCAAAACUUAUCAUUUUGUACACAUAUCAAAUCCACACUUAUAUGUACCAAAUUUAUCAUUUAACAAUUAGCACCAUUAGCCAUAUAUGUCAACUACAUUCCAUAUACCGAUGAUAGGUUAGAAAUUUCAACUCUUGUCAAUGAGGGUGAACAGAUUUUGCUUAUCGGUUACACCGAAGUCGCCAUCAACCACUGUUAUAGGGAACAAAAUAUUGUUGCUCACCUGCUGACAGGUGGUGGGUCGACCCUCCCAAUUAUAUAUUUGGCCCUUGUGUGGUUAUCCGAAGCAUCAUUCUUGUAUCUUUUUUACUUGCUUUGUCCUUAGCCUCUCCACCGUCUUGCUCGUCUUAGUCUACCUUUGGGCAUUUGAAUGUUUUGGCUUCUAUCAGUUUUCUAUUUUUGUUGCAGUUUAGGGUUUCUCCUUUUCUUUGCCUUCCAAAUGAUUUUGAUGGGUCUGUUAGGUUUUUUGUUUUUUUUUGGUUUGUGCUGGGUUUUUUGGCAGCGUGCUCUAUUGCUUGGAUUGUUUGUUUCUAAUUUUACCCUUUAAUAAAUGGAAGCCAAUUUUAAAAAAAAAGGUUUCUCUAAUAAAAUUUUAUUAAUAUAGCAUUCAUGAACAAAAAUUUAAUAUGGUUAUAAAUUAAUAUUCAUAACAUAUUCACUAAAAUUUUAGUAUAUUAUAUUUAUAAUAUGUUUACAAUAUUUAUUGUUAUACCAAAUAGAUGUAUAUUAUUAAAAUACAUGGAGAUAUAAUAUUAUCACAAAAUAACAUAUUAGUAUAUUAAACACAUUAUAGUAUAUUAAUAAUUUAAUUUGGUAUAUAUCUAAAAUAUUAAUUAUAAUAGAUGCACAGGUUAAAUAUUAUGGAUAAUUAUUAAUAUUUGGGUAUAUAUCGAUAUUAUUAGUUUGAUAUAAUAUUAGGGGUAGGAGAUGAAGGUAACACGAUUCAAACCCGUGUCAAAUGAGUAUUUAAUAAGAGUUUUAAGGGUAAACUACUAAAAUAGUCACUUUUGCUUUUCUCAGAUUAUAUUUUAGUCACUUAUAUUUGAAAUGUUACGUUUUAGUCACUUACGUUAUCGUGUUAUAACAUUUUAGUCAUUGAGCGUUAACUGUUGUUAACAGUGUAACAGUAAGCUGAUGCGGCACGUUAAAUUAUCGUUCCAAAAGAAAAUUUUAGGUUAAAUUAUACAAUUGGUCCCUAUAUUUUUUUUUCAUUUUGAGCAAUUUAAUUUUUUUCUUUUAUGUUAAAAGAGAUGGAGAAUGGAGAAAAAUAAAGAGAGAAGCAGAAGAAAAUGGAAAAUAAAGAAAGAAAAAGAAAAAUUUAAAAGAACAAUAUCAAAUAAAAAUAAUUUAAAAAAAAUGGAUAGCAAAACCCCUUACAAUGAAUAAAAUACAAGGGUUGAAAUAGGUAAGAAAAGCCUAUUCCACAAAAGAAGGGAUGAGAGGUUGUUAUGAAGUAGAAACAAGGAUGCGAUAAUUGUUGAGAAGAAAGUAGAUAGAUGGGUAGUUAGACUUAGUUAAUAUAGUUAGUUUUUUAUUAGUUAGUUAGCAGGUAAUCUAAAAACGAUUAGUGAUUCUAUAAUUAUAAUUAACAGUCUUCCACUAAAUGUACUGGUUUUUUCCUUCAUCAGUAGAUUCUUGAUCAGUUUUUCAACAUGGUAUUAGAGCUCCGGUGAUCGUCGUCUUUUCGAUCGUUCACGUUUACUCGGUACUGCCAGUUGGUCUUUCUAGUCAUUCUAGUUUGCUCAAUAUUGCUGAUUGGUCUUUUUUUUGUUUUGGGUUCUAUAGGUUGAUAGCCAAGCCCAUUUUCUGUUGGUUUCUACUGGCCCAAAUACGUUUGUUGGGCAAAGUCCAGUUGUUAAUCUAGGGCUCUUUUCAUUCGUGGUGUUUUCUUCUUGGUUGUGUUGUUCUUGCUUGUCGACGUUCUUCUUUGUUUUCAAUAUCGGUGUUUUGUUUGAAUCAUGGUGAACCAUUCUGGAUCGGUUAUUGAUUUCAAUCAUCCCCUUUACAUGUAUUUGUCUAAUAUUUUAGGUGCCUUGCUGGUGUCUCACCAGUUGCUUGGAGUUAAGAAUGAUAACGUUUGGAGCCAGACCAUGAAAAUUGCAUUGUUAGCUAAAAAUAAAUUGGGGUUUGUGGAUGGUACUUGUUCUAAGGAUUCAUUACCAGAUGAGAUGGGCUAUCAAUGGGAGUGGUGUAAUGCCAUUGUCUUGUCUUGGAUUUUGAAUAUAGUUAGCAGAAAGCUCUCAGCAGGGAUUUUUUUUGCAUCUAGCACAACAACGGUGUGGAACGAUCUUUGUGAACAGUUCUAUAAAGUUGAUGGUUCUAGGAUUUAUUUUUUGCAUCGUGAAAUCACUUCGCAUCUUCAAGGUACUACUUCCAUCUUUAUGUAUUUUACUAAGUUGCGACUGUUUUGGGAUGAGUAUGAUACUCUUGUGCCCUUUUUCUUCAUAUGGAUAUGUUUAGUCAAGGCAGAAUGUUAAGCAUGAUUUGCAGCAGCGUCUAUUCCAAUUUCUAAUCGGAUUGAAUGAAACAUAUAAUGCGGUGCAUAGUCAAAUCUUGUUGAUGAACCUAUUACCAUCUGUCAAUCAAGCUUACUCUAUACUCGUGCAAGAGGAAUCACAGAGGCAACAUAGUUCUAGUGUUGUUGGGUCUGAUCCAGUCUCUUUUCACUCAGCUUAUAUGGUACAAAAGAGGCGUUUUAUUGGAUCUUGUGAUCAUUGCAAGAUUAAAGGGCAUAAAAAGGAAAAUAGCUAUAGGAUAAUUGGUUACUUUACAGAUUUUAUGUUCACUAAGAAGAAGGCAAACAAUGUUUCUGGAUCCAUGGUGAACAAUGUUUUUGUUAAUGAUUCUACAAGUGGCAAUGAAAUGACUAGUGAUGUUGGUGGUGUGCCUAGUCCACAAGCACCUAUGUUUACUCAAGCACAGCAUCAACAAAUCUUGAGUUUGUUGAACAAUGAGCCCACAAUUGAAGUUGUUGCAAGCCUAGCAGGUAUGGUUGAUGUAGGUCAAAAUUGAAUUAUAGAUACUGGAGCUACUGACCAUAUGCUCUCUGAUUUCCAAUUCUUAGAAUUUCCUAUUGCAUGUGUAUCACAUUCUCCCUGUGUCCGACUCCCAAAUGGCUCUUCUGUUUCAAUUACUCACGUUGGCACCUAUACUAUUCAACCUGAUCUUCAGCUUACUAAAGUUCUCUAUGUUCCAAAUUUUUGUUAUAACCUUUUUUCCAUUUCUAAGAUUACAAAUGAUCUCAAUUGUGUUUUUUCGUUUUAUCCUCAUUUUUGCCUCAUAUAGGAUCUCUCAAGUGUAAAGAUGAGGAGGAUUGGUAGGGAGUGAAGCGGUCUUUACAUCUUAGAACCUUCUCGACAGACUAGUGUGGCUGUAACUCUGUCUGUUACAUCUAUUACAUCCGUUGAACCAUCCUUUCUUUGGCAUACUAGACUUGGCCAUGCUUCUGUUUCAAGAUUGAAUAAGGUGCUUAAUCUUCUUUACAUAGUUUCGAAUAAUGAUAGCAUUCAACAGUGUCCUGUGUGUCCUCUUGCUAAACAAACUAGACUCUCAUUUCCCAUAAGUACAUCUCGUGUCGAUACUAUUUUUUCUCUUAUUCAUAUAGAUUUGUGGGGGCCCUAUCGAGUUUUUAGUCAUAGUAGCCAUAGGUAUUUUUUAACCAUUGUUGAUGAUUACUCAAGAAUGACAUGGUUGUAUUUGUUGCAAUAUAAAAAUGAUGCUCCUAUAUAUCUCAAAUAGUUUUUUUCCUUGAUUAAGAAUCAAUUUUCCACUAACAUCAAAUAUGUUCGUAAUGAUAAUGGGUAUGAAUUUUUUAAGACUGAGUGCAACAAAUUUUUUAAUAUGUUAGGCAUUGUACAUCGAAGCUCGUGUGUUCACACUCCUCAGUAAAAUGGGGUUGUUGAGCGUAAACAUAGACAUUUGCUUGAAGUUGCUAGGUCUUUCAAAUUUAAGUCCCACAUGCCUAGUAAAUUUUGGGGUGAGUCUGUAUUAACUGCCUAUUUGUUGAUAAAUUGACUACCUACUCCUCUCUUGUAUUGGAACUUUCCUUUUGAAAUUUUAUAUAGUAAACCUCCUGAUCUUUCUCAUCUAAAAGUGUUUGGAUGUCUUUGUUAUGCUACCAUACCUAAUUAUCAUGAUAAUUUUUCUCCUAAGGCUAUUCCUUCUGUGUUUAUGGGAUACUCUAAUGUUUAGAAAGGUUACUUGUUAUUCAAUCUUGAAAAAAAAAUUUCCUUGUUAAUCGAGAUGCAAUAUUUCAUGAGACUGUGUUUCCUUUUGUAUUUCCUACAAAACAUUUUUUAUUUUUCCCUACAGUUGAUAGCUCUACUUUUCUUGAUCUGGAGUCUUUGCCUUCCAUUCCUAUACUUCCCCUAUCACCUAUUUUGCCAACGAAUCUUCCUUCCCAAACUUUACCAACUAGUACUACUUUACCAAUUCAGCCUUGCAUCCUUCCUGAACAGAUUCCUUUCCCUUCAACCCCCUUAGGACGCACCAUACGGUCUAUCAAGCCACCUGCAUGGAUGAGAGAUUACGUCUAUUCCAACCAAUCUUCCACUUCCCUUGCUACAGGUUCAUACCCUAUUUCUCAUGUUUAUUCAUCGUUACAUUUACCUAUUCACACUCAGUUGUUUGCAGGCCAUAUUUCUUCCUUAUCUGAACCCUAAACAUAUGCUGAGGCCAUCUCGAAUCCAAGAUGGGUCGAUGCUAUGCAACAAGAAAUUCGAGCUUUGGAAAACAAUGAUACGUGGGAGGUCAUUUCUUUACUUGCUGGUGUUGUUCCUAUUGGGUGCACAUGGGUCUAUAAGAUCAAGUAUAACUUUGAUGGCUCUAUUGAAAGGUUUAAAGCUUAAGUGGUGAGGAAAGGAUACAAUCAGUAGGCUGGUAUUGAUUUUCAUGAGACUUUUUCCUCAGUGAUUAAGCAUGUAACUAUUUGGACUUUUGUUAGUGUGGCUGCUAUGCAUGACUGGCCCAUUUUCCAAAUGAAUGUAUACAAUGCCUUCUUAUAAGGAUAUUUGUGUGAAGAGGUUUAUAUGGACAUUCCAGAAGGUUUUCGCACACAGAUAGAGCACAAGGUGUGUCGUUUGCUCAAAUCAUUGUACGGUUGAAACAAGCUUCUUGAAAAUGGAAUUUAAAGCUUACUGAGGCAUUAUUUCAAGAAGGUUCAUUGUUUUCAAAAAUACAAGAGGUAACAUAGUCAUACUACUUGUCUAUGUUGAUGAUCUACUAAUCACAGGAAGUGACAUUGGUAUGAUAAAUGAGUUUAAAAAGGUUCUGUACCAGAAUUUUAAAACUUGGGUGCAUUGAAAUAUUUUCUUGGUAUAGAGGUUAUGAGAUCAAGUGAAGGUAUUGUGUUGAAUCAAAGGAAGUAUGCGUUGGAGUUUAUAGCUGAUGUUGGGUUAGGAGGAGCAAAACCAACAAGUAUGCCUCUUGAACAAAAUCAGAAACUCACUUCGAUUGAGUAUGAUGAAUCUGUACAACUGAGUGCUGAUGGUGAUGAAUUGAUAUUUGAUGUUGUAGUAUCGUUUGCAGACAUAUCGUUUGCAAUCCAACACUUAAGCCAGUUCAUGCACAAACCAAAAAACUCUCAUCUGGAGGCUGCUUUUCGGGUGGUUCGAUAUAUCAAAAAAAAUCUUGGUCAAGGUAUCUUAUUGGCUGCAUCCAGUAAACUAUAGUUUGUUACAUUUUGUGAUUCAGAUUGGGCUUCAUGUCCCAUGUCCAGAAUAUUUGUCACCGGAUUUUGUGUUAAGCUUGGAGAUUCCCUCAUUUCAUGGAAAAAAAAACAAACUACUGUUUCUCAAUCAUUAGCAGAGGCUGAAUACUGAAGUAUGACAGCAGUAGUAGCAGAGGUUAUUUGGUUGGAUGGCUUGUUGAAAGAGGUCUGUCUUGGUCAGUUUGACAAGUCUUUACUUUUUUUAGAUACCCAGGCAAUACUAUAGAUUGCAACAAACCCUGUUUUUCAUGAACGUACCAAACAUAUAGAAAUUGAUUGUCAUUUUGUACGGGAUAAAAUUGGAUAAGGUUUGAUUCAAAUGCAGCACAUUGGGACAAUUGAAUAGCUUGUAGAUUUGAUGACUAAAGCACUUGGAAUCAAGCAACAUGAAUCUUUGGUGUCCAAGUUGGGGAUUAAAGAUUUGUAUCAACCCUCAACUUGAGGGGGAGUGUUGAGAAAAAAGUAGAUAGUUAGCUGGGUAGUUAGACUCAGUUAGUAUAGUUAGUUUGUUAUUAGUUAGUUAGCAGGUAAUCUAUAAAAUAUUAGUGAGUCUGUAAUUAUAAUUAAUGGUCUUUCACUGAAUGUACUGGUUUUUUUCUUCAUAAAUAGAUGCUUGAUCAGUUUUUCAACAAUAAUGUUGAAAGAAGAAGCGGAGCAUAUACGGUUGUCAAUCUCUUGUUUUCAUUGCCAUGCUUAAGGAAAUAAAACAAGUAGAAAAGCAUGCAUUGUUGUAACAAUAUCAACAAUGUUCUUUUGGUUUCGAUAAGUUGGACUUUAUAACUUUGUAAUUGAGAUCAUAAGAACGACUCCAAUAAUUGUAUUAGACAACAAGUGUGAUUCAGGAAAUCCCAAUCCAUUACACACACUCCAAAAUUAGCAUGUAAAACGACUAUCCCUAAAUGAUUCAUGGUGAAACCAGUAGAGGUUAGUUCGCAAACGGACAAGCUUGCAAGAAAGAUUCAUUUUCUUUCAAUGGAAUCCAGCUAAAAACAAUAACAACACAUAUUGAUAAAUACCAUUAAUUCUAGGUAUCGCCAUCUUAAACAUGGGUAGAAUUCCUCGAGGAAUCAUGAUCAUCACCCUCACUCCAAAUACAAGAUGCAAGGAGAAGUUGGACUCCACUGUAAACAAUGGUUGAAAGCAUCUACCCUUCUCUCAAAUUACUCCAGUGCUUCUUGAGCACCAAAGUCAACAAUUUUACUAUACCCGUCAGUAGUAUGUGGCAAUUCUCUGGCUGGUGAAGAACAAUAUUCCAAACAAAGCUCACAUGGUAAGCCCCAAGCUUAGCAUCAAAAUUGAAAAAACAAAAAUGGAUAAACCCUAAAUUUAAUUAUUAAUCAAUCAUAACUCUUAACUAAAAGUCUGCAACGCAAACCAACAUAUAUAGCAUAUCAUAAUAUCACACAAGUUUGUUAAUAUAAUUAUUAUUUUCAUAACAAAUUUAACUUUAAUAAUAUUUUGAUUAUUUUAUUUAAAAUAUUCUAUCUUAAUAUUUUAUUAAUAAUUCACUUUAUAAAUAUUUAGAAAUAAAUGUUUCAUAAUAUAAAUAAGAAUAUUUUAAUAAUAUAAAUAUGAGUAUUUAUCCCAUCCGUUUACAGUGUGUCAUUAUCUACCCUCGUAUAUGUUAUAUGUUAAUUAAAUUUUAAUUAGGUAUUGAUUAUUAUCAAAACUAUAUAAGAUAUUUGUUAUUACAAUUUCAUCUCUUUGCUUCUCUCUUUAGAAAUCUAAACUUGUUUAUAUAUCGGGUUCAUCCCUCUAACUCUAAAGAAGAAUCCUGUAUGAAACAAGAAAAUUUUUUGUUUGCCAGGUGAUUGAUCAGAGAAAGUGAGUGAAUUAGAAAUAAUGGCAGAAGCAGAGAAAUUUGUGGAAUCUGAUAACGUCGAGGAUGUAUUAGCAAAAAUAGAAAACAAAUCUUUGAAGAUCGAGUGCUUAAUUAAACAAUUGAAAUUUCUAAUACGAAUUUGAGUUUUCCAUUUAAAAGUUUUAAAAGGAAAAAAAAACCCUAUUUCUAUAGGAUUGGUUUGUUUCUAUCUCAGGUAUAAACCCAUUGAAGCUAUUAAAACUAUGCUCAAGUGUAAUCCUCCCCAAGAUGAACGAUGCAAGGUUUGGUACCCUAAAAAGAAAAAAGUUUUUUUUUUCCAUUUUUUUCAUUUAAUUUGGAUAUUGGCAUUUUUAGUCUAUAAAUUGGAUACGUGUGCAUGAAGCAUUAAUGGUUAUCAAAGAUGUUAAAGGAAACUAUGGUAUUCUUAUGAAGUGAGUCUUUUUAAUUCUUAUGAAGUGAAUCUUAUUUAAAAACUUUUCUUUUCUUUUGGAAUUUCACUUGUAUAUUUCAUUCAAUGAUAGGGUCUCUUUCAAAGUUUUUAAAAUAAGAUUGAGAGUAUUUGACAAAAACGAAAUCUGGUCUAAUCUGCUUAAUCCCUCAUGGAAUCUACUUUUAUGCUUUUCUUUUUUAGUAAUUGUUAGUGCAUUGUAACAUCUCUAACCCGUCUCCGUCGCUGGAUUCGGUUUACGGAGCAUUACCGUACAAAUCAGAACAAUUAAUUUCAAUACAAAUCAAUAAUGCCAUUUAAUCUUAAUUACCAAAAAUUCAUUAUAAACCUAGCAAACAUACACAUUUGAGCCUUAAAUCGAGCCUUUUAGGCCCUAAAAAUAGUUCGGGAACAAUCUAGGACUAAUUUAAAAAAAAUAAAAAAAUUUCAAAAAAAGUUGAAAAUUUUGAAAACACAGGUCACACAGCAUUGUGACAUAACUCAGGCCAUGUGGGUAUUCGAAGUUUGGUCACAUAGUCGUGUAACUCAUUGUGGCCGUGUGAUUCAUCAUAUAUCUAGAAUUUAAUAAACACACGGCUGUGUGGGUUGGCUGUGUGUGGCACACAGUCGUGUAACAGCCCAUGUCUCAGGCUGUGUGCACCAAAAUUAACCCUUAAAACAAACAAUUUCAAUACCCAUCCUUGUCCAACAAGAUACAUCAUUUACACAUGUAUUCAUUUGUCCAAAACACUUUCAAUUCAUGCUAAAUCAAUCAACCUAUGAAUUCUAACCAAUAUGCUAUUCAAAGGCACCACAAUUCACACCAAUUCAUCUAAUUCUAAAACAUACCUUACCUUAAACAUACAUCAUCACAACCAUGCAUCAUUAGUCAUUUCAAUCGUAUAUAAGCAUGUCUCAAGCCAUAUAUUUACAAUACACCUAAAAAUAAUCAAGAAUACAUCUUGCCAAAACCUUAUAAACCUAAACAAAAACAUUUACACAAAAGGCAUAAGCAAACUAGGUUGACCAAAUAACAUAUAUGUAACACUUAUUCAUUAAGCCUUAUACAUGCCAAAACACACAUCACACAUUCACCAUUUAGUUACUUCAUUCUCAAAUUAUAUCACUUAGUCACAUUCCUUCACAAGACACACAUAAGAGACCAAACUCACCUAUUAACACAAACAUAUACCAACUAAUUUCAAAACAUAUAUAUACUCAAGUAUGUUAAGCAUAAGCUCAAAACAUUACAAAUUAACAUACAACCCUAUACAUGCCAUUCAUAACCAUUAGCCCAAAUUAUUCAAAAGCUACCAAAAUAGUCAAUGGAUAGUGUGAUUGUGCUUCGACGAAUAUUUCAACCGAUCUGGCUUUCUAAUGAUCUACAAAACAAAGAAAACAACCAUAUAAGCAACUAGUGCUUAGUAAGCUCGUAUAAAGGAAACUUAAACUUACCGAACAUAUUAAAUUAAACAACCAAACAUAAUUUCACCAUGUCAUAUGCCAAACUUCCUUUCCUAUACACAUCAUCUCAUAAGGUUAGUAAAUAUAAUAUUACAUGUAAGUUCCAAGUAUAUCAUGGUAUAUAAAUAAUAAGCAUUUAGACUUUAUAUAUCAUCCAUCACACACACACAUAUAUAUAUCCAUUACACAUUCUUCUCAAUUGAAUCAACAUAGUUAGUAGAUAAUAAGUAAACAUAACAUUUAUAAAACCUAGCCUAUAUUAAGAAAUGAAUUCCAUGCAUAUUUCAUCAAUCACUUGAUAAAAUCUCAUCCUUUUUAUUUCAUAUAUGCCUGUCUUUCUUUCCAUUUCAUAUGAACAUUAGUAACAUUAAAUUUAAUAGAUGUCUUUCCAUUAAUCUUUACUUACCCGUUGAACCAUAUAGGAUUACAUCUAAAACUUGAAAUAAUAUUUUCAAUACAAAUUACCUGACACAAUACACUGGUACAAAGCCUUCUAGGCUCAAGGCCUGAUACAAUACACCGACACGAAGCCUACUAGGCUCACAGCUUGAUACAAUACACCGGCAUGAAGCCUGCUAGGCUCAAGGCCUGAUAUAAUACAUCGACACAAAGCCUGCUAGGCUCAAGUCCUGAUACAAUAGACCAGCACGAAGCCUACUAGGCUCAAGGCCUGACACAAUAUCUCCGGUAUAACUCAAUUGCAUUAUUAAUUUCUAUCAACCAACAUUAUAUAAUUACAAACACCUUAACUAAUAGAGUAAAAAAAUAUCAAGGAAUUUAAUAUAAAAAUAUAUAUAAUACUAAUUUACUUGUACCAAAACGAUGUCCUAAUAUGAUCUAACGCCUAAUCCGCUACUUUGAUUUUUCCACUAUUUAUGUCCGUUCGAGUCAUUUCUUGAUCUAAAUAAUUAUAUUUAUUCAAUUAAUCCCAUUCCAGCAUUUAAAAUGAUUAAUUUAAAUUAUAACCCUUAACAAUAAAAGUUUACAAAAUUACCUCAAAGUUUACCUUUUUGCAAUUUAGUUCCUAAACCCGAAACUUAUAAUUUAACCACUUUUAAUUAAAAUCCAUGCUAGCUGAUUAUUACCUAACCUUAUAACAACCCAUAUUUAUCAUCAAUUUACACUAUUUUUCUUGAAUUUUACCAUUUUCAUAAAUAAGUCCCUAAACCUUAAAAUCAUCAAUAAUUUCCUAACAAAAUAUAUCUAUUUAACGCUUAACAAUUUAUCAUAAAACUUCAAAAAUAUAUCAAAUUCAUCUAUGGCAUAAUCUAUAACAUUUAAAAAUUUUACAAAUUGACCCCCGGAUUAGCUAGAUUAAACUAAUACAAACUCAAAAACAUAAAAUUUACGAAAAACGGGUUAAAAUUAAAUUUACAUGCAAAUAACCAUGCUUGGCCGAAGCUUAUGAAGCCAACAAUGGAGUUUUCCAUUUUCCUAUUCGGUGAUGAAGAUAGAAAAUGAAGAAGACACAUGCUUUAUUUUCUUUUGUUUUAGAUUUAUUUAUUAAAUUAUUAUAUUAACCUUAAAGUAAACAACUCAAAUUCCAUAUUUAAAACCCAUGAACCGUCCACUAUGGUCUAAAAAGGUAUAAUUACCACAUAAAUCCUUUAAUUCAUGAUUUUAUAUCCAUUUAAUACAAAUAAAGUUAUAACGAUUAAGUUUUACAUCUUUUACAAUUUAGUCCUUUUCAAUUAAUUAACUAUCUAAACAUUAAAAUUUCUUAACCAAAUUUUAAUAUGACCCUAAUAACAUCUGUAAAUAUUUAAUAAAAUAUUUUUGAGCUCGAUUUAUAGUAAGGAGGUCCCAAAACCUUAUUUUCUAAAACCACUUUACUUUAAGGACUUGCUACUUGAACCUAAUUAUUCAUUCAAAUAAAAUAAAUUAUGAAAUCAAAAUUUAUUAUAAUACUAUAUUGGACUCAUAAAUAUUAAAUAGUAGUAUUUACGGACUAACUCGUGAGAUUUAUGGCCUCGAAACCAUAGUUUUCGACACCACAAAAAACAAGUUGUUACAUGCACAACUGUUGUUGCAACGAAUGUUACAUUAUUAUUGACUAAUGAAUAACUUCAAGUAUCUGCACUUGAUGAAUAUGCAUUUUGUGACUAAAUCUUUUAGUAGGUUUGUUGUUCUCAUUGUUGAACAUUUUGCCUAGUGAUGUUAUAGCUCUUGGAUAGACAAUUGUUUUCAUUACAGGUACACAUGUUUUGUAGUUCAUAUAUAAUUGUUAUGAAUAUUUCCAAGUAUGUAUAUAGAGGAUUGUCGAUAGGAGAUCACACCACAUGUGAUCAGUGCCUUAAGAUCCAUGAAAAGCUGAUAGAGAAAGUCGGUUUCGGAUGAAUACUUCGUCCCUUUGCAGACAUUGUGAAUACAGUUUAACUCUAAUCACCCUUUCUUCCCUUUGAAAAGAUAAUUAUUAUAGAAAUGUUCAGCAUUUUCUCUUCGUUGUUCCACAUGUAUGUGAACCACAAAUUUUUUCUAUCACUGAAUGAUUAGAGGUAGAGACUAUGAUUUAUCAUAAAUUAAUAAUACAAAUAUAUCAAAUCAUAUUACUAGUAAAUCAAUGGUUUUUCACUAUUUACUACAUUUUUCCCUUUAGUAUAUAAAUCUUGUUACUUAAUGAUUGCAGUGAAAUUGUAAGAAGAAUGAGAUUGAUUUAUCAAGCCAAUAAAGAAAAGAGAGUGGAAAUGAUCUAGUCCAUAAAUUAAGGGUCCAAUUAUAAGCAUAGGUUAAUUAUUAUAGGAAAUUCUUUUACAUUUAAUACAAUUUUUAUCAAAUUCUAGAAAAAAUAAAUGCAUUAAAAACACCUUUUUCUUUAAAUGUCAUCUUAACAUGAUCAAUGUCAUUAAGUAGGUAGGGGUUAAUAUUUUCCAUUAGAUUAAUUGUUAUUUGUAUAACUGAAACUAGUUGUCAUUGUUGAAACUGAGUGCAUUAUUGAGGACUUAGUUCCUAAUGUAUAGUUAUUAGCGGAUUGAAUGCAUUUUAAGUCGUUUUCACCAUCAUCAGUUUCUCCUCCAUGUUGUUGUGCUUUGCCUAUUGGAAACUUCUAUCAAACAACUGUUACUUUGUCUUUACUUUGAGCUCAAAAGAGUACUUAUGAGAUAUAGCUCUUUCAGAGUUGAUAAUCUAUGGAGGUCUUAUUUGCUUUCCACCUCGGUUGUAUACAAAAAAAAAGAAGGUCAAUGUCUGAAUGUUGUUACUCUUUUUUUUUUUUUUUUUUUACUUUGGUGGUUAGAGGAGUACCCUCUUUACAAGAAAAUAUUGUGUGAAACUCAUAUACAAGUGUAAGUUUUUAUUAUCUUAUUUUGAUCAAAUUUAUAUCUAAUGUAGAUUUUUUAUUUAAGUAAUAUAAAAAGGAAUAUAAAUUUUUGCUGUUUUUAGAAUUUCCUCUAGUGGGCAGUGUUAUUUAAAGCAGCGAUUGAGAAAAUGGCAGACUUGAUCUGUGUUCAGCUCUCUGUUAUUUGGGUCUGAUAUAAUUUAUUGGCGUUGGAAACCUCAGCCAGCUACCCUACAUUGGUACAUACUUCUUGCAGACCAUCGUUUCGUUCUUUUUAUUACUAUCAUUUUCUUUAACCAAAUGUGAAACUCUCAAAGAUGGCUAUGGAAAGUUUCAGGGUUUUCUUCUUUGUUCUACUCCUCGCUGCCUCUCCUCUUCUCCAAGAUCUGUAAAUUACUAUUUCAGAUUGUUACGAGCUAAUAAAUUAGCAGGAUUUUUAGCUUAAGUGAUACGAGACGUUUUGGCCUGUUAGUGAUACGGGGCGUUUUGUGUCUAACAGAACAAUCCACAUCAGCAUGUUGUAAUUCUUUUAAAUGUUGCAUGUUUUGCAUGGCAGCGAUUAUCAAGGAAAAUACCAGUACUCAAUCUGUGAUCUCCCUUCUUCUCUCUUUAUACUCUUUUCUUCCUCUUCUUCUUCUCCCAAUUUCUUUGCUCGAUUUUAGUUCUUAACAAGGGUAUCAGAGCCUCUACGAUCCCUUGUGAUGGUCGGUGAUGGAAUAUCGACACGAUUACAGAAAGAAGUGGGUAGUAUGCAACAGGAGAUUUCCAAACUUCACGAUGACAUCGCCCGAGUGGAAUCCAAGCUGGAGCAUCGACUGCAGGAAUUUAAAAUUGAGAUUCAGGGAGAUCUUCAGGCGUUGAUGAGUCAAUAUUUUGGGCCACCUCCCGUAGGAUCAUCGGCAAAUGCCUCCGAGGAUAAGGGCAAAGGAGUUUUGGGGGCACCUCCGGGGUUUUUACUUAAGCACACGGAGUUACCUCAGAUGCAGACAGAUCCAUUGGCUACGAAUGGGAGUAGUGUACAGAUGAACAAUUUUUCCCAUGUGACGGGAGUUUUUGCUAAUUAAAGCCGAUUGGAGUGCCCCAAGUUCAAUAGGACAGAUUUUCGGGGUUGGUGGACCAAGUUGGAACAGUAUUUCGAAGCAGAGGGAAUACCUGAUGUUAGCAAAGUCCGGUUGGUGAUGCUGAACUUGGAGGGAAGAGCAUUGGAAUGGCAUCAUUUUUACUCUCAAUGAAAUGGAGGGCUGCAAAUGUUGUCGUGGCCAGCAUAUUUAAAGAGUCUUUAGGACCGCUUUGGGGGUGGAUCGUCUGGGGAUCCUAUGAGAGAAUUAGUUAACUUGAAACAACAAGGUACGGUUGAUGAGUUUCAAGAUCUCUUUGUAGGUUUGCUUAAUCAAUUGCAAUUGCAUGAAUCGUAUGCUCUUAGCAUUUUCUUGGGCAAUUUGAAAGCUAAGAUAGGCCAUUAUCUAGAUCUAUUUUCACCAUCGACGUUGAUGGAAGCUUUUCAACUAGCUAAAAAAAUCGAAAUAUUAAUUUUCCAGUCAGGAAAAGGCCCCACGAUGUUGGGGGUUAAUUCAUCCCGAUCAGUUAGCAGCUCGCAUAAUGCAUCGAGGUAUCCUUCAUUCUCCACAAGAUCAGGGGUUAGUGGUCAAUCGGCUACUAGGAUUUCAUCAAUCAACUCGGGGGCAAGGAACAUAUCUUCAACAGUGAUAGCUGAAAGGAAGCAGAAAGGUUUAUGUUAUUGGUGUGGAGCUAAAUAUCAGGCAGGUCAUAAGUGCAUGAAAUCCCAGCUUUAUCAAGUUUUAUUGGAACCUUAUUCUGAUGAAGAGACUGAGGAGUUUCAGGAAUGUUCGGACAAGUUGGAAGGCAAUAGGAAUGGGGAGGAUGAUCUUCAAUCUCCUACCGUCUCUCUGAAUGCUCUUACUGGAAUGCAAGGGCAUAGCACAAUGAGGAUGGCUGCCAAAGUGGGAAGUCAGUGGGCUAUUAUUUUAGUCGACUCUGGUAGUACUCACAAUUUCAUUGGCACCAAAUUGGUUCAGAGAUUGUCUCUACCUGUGGUCUGUCAGGAGCAAUUGAGAGUAUCUGUAGCAAAUGGCAGCUGCUUGUUUACCAAAGGCUUGUGCAGAGAGGUCAAAUGGAAGGUACAAAGUCAUAUAUUCACUACUGACUUCAAGGUGUUGGCUUUGAAAAAGUGCGACAUCGUGUUGGGGGUGCAAUGGCUGCUGACACUUGGGGACAUUAUGUGGAAUUUUGGGGCGUUAACCAUGUAGUUUAGUGUAGCAGGGGAACCUUAUAUCCUUCAAGGCAUAGCCCGGGGUCAUUGGCAGUUGGGAAUUUAGAAUGUAAACCAAGAUGUUUUGUAAGAGUGGGACACUUUUUGAGACCUUUUAAGCAGUACUAAGCUCACCCGAGCAAGUGAUGCUCUCGAUUCAGGGGGAUAAGAACCAGGGAACACACCUCUAGGAAUUGUUGAACGAAUUUGAUGACGUAUUUAAAGUCCCUAAAGGGCUGCCACCUCGCAGACUGCAUGACCACAAAAUCCCGUUAAAGAUGAGACAACAGUAAUUAAAAUGCGUCCUUAUAGGUAUCCAGUGUUUCAAAAAACUGAAAUGGAGAAGCUCAUUCAGGAAAUGUUAGAGGCGGGGAUCAUUCGCGACAGUACCAGUUCUUUUGCCUCUCCCAUCGUGAUGGUUAAGAAAAAAGAUGGUAGUUGGAGGUUAUGCGUGGAUUAUAGACAACUGAAUCAACAUACGGUCAAAGACAAGUUCCCUAUUCCGGUGAUUGAGGAAUUAUUGGAUGAGCUAGGGGAGGCUACGGUAUUCUCCAAACUGGAUUUAAGGUCUGGGUACCAUCAAAUUCGUAUGUGGGAGCCGGAUAUACAUAAAACAGCAUUUCGAACUCAUGAGGGGCACUAUGAAUUCUUAGUGAUGCCCUUUGGCCUCACGAAUGCCCCAUCAAGCUUCCAAGCUCUCAUGAAUGUAGUUUUCAAGCCUUUGUUGCGGAAAUUUGUAUUGGUAUUUUUCGAUGACAUACUUGUUUACUCAAAAUCAUGGUCAGAUCAUCUGCAACAUUUGCGGUCAGUUCUCUCGGUUUUGAGGAAGCAGCAGCUGUAUGCAAAAGGGACAAAAUGCUGUUUUGGGUCUUCACAAGUCCAUUAUUUGGGACAUGUUCUACAAGCUGGUACCGUCUCUAUGGAUACUUCAAAAAUUGAAUGCAUACUCGCUUAGGCCGUCCCUCGUUCAGUAAAAGAAUUGCGUAGCUUUCUUGGGCUCACUGGGUAUUACAGGCGGUUUAUCAAGAAUUAUGGAUUGAUGGCUCGACCAUUAACUGAUUUACUGAAGAAGAACACGUGGGAGUGGUCUGACCGAGCUACUGACGCUUUUCAGACAUUAAAACAAGCUAUAAGCUCAGCUCCUGUGCUAGCGCUCCCAAAUUUUCAGCUGGAAUUUGUGGUCGACACUGAUGCUAGUGGCAUGGGCGUUGGUGCAGUCUUACAGCAACGGGGUAGACCGAUUGCCUUCUUUAGCAAAGCUCUCGGAAUCUGCCAUCAAGCUUUGUCUAUUUAUGAGAAGAAGAUGUUGGCAGUCUUGUUGGCGGUUAAAAAGUGGCAUCCCUACCUAGUUGGUAGGCAUUUUAAAAUCAGGACAGACCACCAAAGUUUGAGAUUUUUGUCGGACCAAGUGGCUGUUACUCCGUUUCAGCAAAGGUGGGUGGCAAAAAUGCUGGGAUAUGAUUUUGAGGUGGUUUACAAAAAAGGAAUUAACAACAAAGUGGCUGACGCUUUGUCUCGACAACCUCAGUCCAUUCCUUGUCAAUAUUUCCAGCUAACCACUUGUUCAGUAAUUUCAGGUCUGCUCGAGCAGGUACAACAUUCAUAUACGGUGGAUGAAAAGUUACAGAAGCUUAUCCAGAAGGUUUCCCAAACUCAGAAUAAUGAUCCAAAAUAUACUUGGGAUGGUCGAUUUGUUGUGCGGAAGCGUGUAAAAGAGUAAAAUUAUUGUACUAAAAAAUCACACUAAGUUCAAUUCCCAGGAAAGAGAGGUGGAUCACAAGGAUCGCUUAAGUACCAGGUCUUUCCUAGCCAGAAUAUCCCUCAAUCGUAAUUUAAUAGCACAAUAAAUCACUACAAUCACACACACAAUUCAUGCAGAAUAAUACAAUAAAGAACACAAGAAUUUAACGAGGUUCAGCAAAUUUUGCCUACGACCUCGGGCACUACCAAAUAUAUUUCACUCCAAAAUACAAGUGAGAAUUUACAAAGAGAGAGAGAGAAAACAAUGCCUUAAGUAGAGAAUGGCAAGUUUGAGAUACAGAAUGAGAGAUGGUUAUGCCUAUUUAUAGUUGAGGUUCAGGGAUCAACUUGCAAAGUCACUUUACAAUUUAGGGACCAUAUAUUACAAAUAUCUCAGAUUUUAUUAUGCCAAUAUCUCGAUACCCAUAUCUUUGACUUUCCAAUAUUUGAUACCCAUAUCUUUGACUUUCCAAUAUUUGAUACACAUAUCUUUGACUUUCCAUUAUUUGAUACCCAUAUAUUUGAUUUUCCAUAAAUAUGGAUAAUUCCCAAUAAUCUCCACCUUGAAGAUUUGAUUUGAGUAAUCUUAUCUUCACACAAUUCUCUCUGCCUUUGUCAACAACACUUGAUAGCGCCUUCUUCAACUGUUAAACAUGCAGAAUAUUGAUCAAGUUCAAACAAUGUUCGAACUUGAUUGUUGUUACCACCUUGGUCAUCAUAUCUGCGGGAUUAUCUGCAGUCUUAAUCUUCUGAAGGUGAAUUUUCCCCUCAUCAAUAAUUUCCCGCACAAAGUGGAAACGUACAUCGAUAUGCUUUGUACGUGCAUGAUAGACUUGAUUCUUUGCUAAAUGAAUAGCACUUUGACUAUCACAAUACACAUUAAUAUGCUCCUGGACCAAUCCCAAGGUUUUACCCAUACCUUGUAACCAAAUAGCUUCCUUUACAGCCUCUGUUACAGCCAUGUAUUCAGCUUCUGUGGUUGACAACGCAACUGUAGACUGCAGUGUAGACUUCCAACUUAUUGGUCCUCUAGCAAGAGUAAACACAUAACCAGUGGUUGAUCUUCGUUUGUCCAAAUCACCGGCAUAAUCAGAAUCAACGUACCCAACAACACCUUUACCAAGUGUAGUAUCCUGCUUGAACAGUAAUCCAAUAUCCAUGGUCUUAUGAAUAUACCGUAGAAUCCAUUUCACAGCUUGCCAAUGUCCUUUUCCAGGAUUAUGCAUAUACCUGCUCACUAUACUAACUGCCUGUGAAAUGUCGGGUCUUGUACACACCAUUGCAUACAUCAAGCUACCUACUGCAUUAGAAUACGGAACUUGUAACAUGUAUUCUCGUUCCGUAUUCGUCGAAGGAGAUAGUUGUGUAGAAAGCUUGAAAUGAGAAGCCAACGGGGUACUUACAGGUUUUGUCUGCUCGUUCAUGCCAAACUGCUGUAGUACCUUUUUCAAAUACUGCUUCUGAGACAAGCUAACUCUAUCAUGAGCUCUAUCUCUCCAUAUUUCCAUGCCGAGGAUCUUUUUAGCUUCUCCUAGAUCUUUCAUCUCAAACUCGAGAUUGAGUUGAGUCUUCAAUCUUUCAAUCUCAACUUUGCUCUUAGAUGCUAUUAGCAUAUCAUCAACAUAUAAGAGCAAGUAUAUGAAAGUUCCUUCUUGUAGCUUCUGAAAAUACACGCAAUGAUCAAAUUUACUUCUUGUGUACCUUUGCCCUUUCAUGAACUGAUCAAAUCGCUUGUACCACUGCCUCGGAGAUUGCUUCAAUCCAUAAAGUGACUUUGUCAGUUUGCAAACCCAAUUUUCUUUUCCAGUAACCUUGAAUCCAUCUGGCUGAGUCAUAUAGAUUUCCUCUUCCAAAUCACCGUGUAAAAACGCGGUCUUCACAUCAAGCUGAACUAGUUCAAGAUCAUAUUGCGCAACCAAGGCUAGCAAAAUCCGAAUAGACGAAUGCUUCACAACUGGAGAAAACACUUCAUUGUAGUCUAUUCCUUCUUUCUGAGCGUAACCCUUUGCUACUAAUCUAGCCUUGUAUCGAAUUUCAUUUUUAUCAGGAAAUCCUUCCUUCUUUGCAUAUACCCAUUUGCAUCCAAUUGCCUUCUUUCCCUUGGGUAGUGUCACCAACUCUCAGGUCUUAUUUUUAUGAAGAGACUGCAUUUCUUCAUUCAUUGCUUGCUUCCACUUUACACCAUCAGGGUUACUUAUUACUUCUGUGUAAGUAGAAGGAAUAUCAUCAUAUGUAAUUGGAAGUGCAUAGGCCACUAUAUCAUCAAAGCGAGCAGGCUUACGAAUCUCUCUUCUUGGCCUUCUAUAUGCAAUUGAAUCUUGUUGCUGUAGAGAUUCUUGGGUAGGAACCUCUUCAUCAUUUGUCCCUUCAAUAUUAGCUGGAUCAUCGUUAACCUUUUCAAGCUCCACCUGCUGCAAAGUACUACUGGUUUUGUCAUCCUUUUGUGUAUCCUUGUACUUCAACAUGGUUGAUUCAUCAAAAGUCACAUCUCUACUGAAAACAAUCUUCCUUGUAUCAGGACACCAGAGACGAUAUCCUUUUACUCCAUCAGUUAUACCCAAGAAUAAUGCUUUCUUUGCUCCUGGGUCUAACUUAGAUUCUUUUACAUGAUAAUAUGCAGUGGAACCAAAUACAUGCAAAGAAUCAUAAUCAGUAGCAGAUUUACCAGUCCACAUCUCCAUAGGAGUUUUUCCAUUUAUUGCAGCUGAUGGCAAACGGUUAAUUAGAUGGCACGCAUAUGUAACUGCCUCAGCCCAAAAUUCUUUGCCCAAUCCAGCAUUGGACAACAUACAUCGAACUUUCUCCAGUAUAGUUCGAUUCAUUCGUUCUGCCACCCCAUUUUGCUGUGGUGUAUCCCGAACAGUGAAGUGUCGCACAAUGCCCUCAUCUUGGCAUACUUGUAGAAAUGGAUCGUUUUUGUACUCAGUACCAUUAUCUGAUCGAAGUCGUUUGACCUUUCGACCAGUCUGAGUCUCCACCAUCUUCUUCCAUUUAGAAAUGCAUCCAAAAUUUCACUUUUUAUUUUCAUUAGAUACACCCAUACUUUUCUUGAAUAAUCAUCAACAAAAGUAACAAAAUAGUGCAUACCUCCCAAAGAAGCUACUUUGGUAGGUCCCCACACAUCACUGUGAACGUAGUCCAGAAUUCCUUUCGUAUUGUGAAUUGCUGGACCAAAUUUUACCCUCUUCUGCUUGCCCAGAACACAAUGUUCACAGAAUUCCAUUUUGCAAGAAUUUGCACCUUUCAAUAAGCCUUGCUUCACCAAUGUCUGCAAAGCUUUUUCACCAGCAUGUCCCAAUCGCAUAUGCCAUAAUCUGGUAGCCUCUGAAUCUACAUCUUUUGUAGAAACUGUUGAUGUUGAUCCAAUAACUGUACUUCCAUUUAAAAAAUACAAGUUAUUUCUUCUUGUGCCUUUCAUCACCGUCAGUUGCCCAGCUACUACUUUUAGUAAUCCAUCUCUCAAAGUGAUUGUGAGCCCUUUAGAUUCUAGGGCACCUAAUGAGAUGAGAUUUUUCUUCAGGCUAGGUACGUAGCGAACAUCUGUCAAGACUUGGAUUGAGCCGUCGUGAUUCUUCAAUUGGACUGUACCAACUUCCAUUGUCUUACAAGCACUAUCAUUUCCCAUAAGAACAAUUCCACCUUCUAGCUCUUUAAGACUAGAAAACCAGUCCCUAUUAGGACACAUAUGGUAAGUACAUCCUGAAUCCAAAAUCCACUCAUCCGUUUGACAUGCCAUUGCCAUGCCAACCAAGCUAAAGUCUGACUCCUCAUCAUGCUCCGCUACACAUGCAUCAGAAAUAGCUUUACCCUUUUGUAACUUAGGACAAUUCUUUUUCCAAUGCCCUUUCUCACGACAAAAAGCACAUUCAUCUUUGGCAGGUCUCCCUUUGGACUUACUCCUUCUACCAGAUUUGUUGCUGCGCGAACGACUUCUUACUGUUAAGACUUCUGUAGUUGUAUCUCUGUGAUCUUUUUUAUCUUUCUUUCGAGUCUCAGAUCUAUACAAUGCACUACAGACUGCAUCAAAUGUGAUUGUAUCCUUCCCAUGAAGCAAUGUGGUGGUAAGAUGAUCAUAUUCAUCAGGAAGAGAAUUCAACAACAGUAAUGCCUUGUCUUCAUCUUCAAAUUUCUCAUCCAAAUUUAGCAAGUCUGCUAAAAUUUUAUUGAAUGAGUUCACAUGGUCAUUCAUCGAUAUACCGAGUGCAUACGUGAAUCGAUAAAGUUUCUUUUUCAUAUAAAGCCUAUUUUCAAGACUUUUUGUUAGAAACUUUUCUUCCAGUGUAUCCCACAACUUUUUCGCUGAUGUCUCCCUCAUGACAGAGUACUUCUGCUCUUUGGCCAAACAUAGGCGAAUUGUUCCACAUGCCUGUCUAUUGAUCUUGGCCCACUCCUUGUCAUCCAUCUUGUCAGGUUUUUCUUCAAGGGCUAUAUCCAGCUCUUGCUGACAUAAGACAUCCAGGAUCUCACAUUGCCACAUACCAAAAUUAUUGGUACCAUCAAAUUUCUCUACUUCAAAUUUCGCAUUGGUCACAGUAGUCUUUGACGAUGACUUUUCCAUUUUUUUCUCCUCAAUCCCAACUACAGUACGUGAACAGUGCCGUGAACGAUCGUAUUCCCCAAGUACGAAUCUAGCUCUGAUACCAAUUGUUGUGCGGAAGCGUGUAAAAGAGUAAAAUUAUUGUACUAAAAAAUCACACUAAGUUCAAUUCCCAGGAAAGAGAGGUGGAUCACAAGGAUCGCUUAAGUACCAGGUCUUUCCUAGCCAGAAUAUCCCUCAAUCGUAAUUUAAUAGCACAAUAAAUCACUACAAUCAAACACAAUUCAUGCAGAAUAAUACAAUAAAGAACACAAGAAUUUAACGAGGUUCAGCAAAUUUUGCCUACGUCCUCGGGCACUACCAAAUAUAUUUCAUUCCAAAAUACAAGUGAGAAUUUACAAAGAGAGAGAGAGAAAACAAUGCCUUAAGUAGAGAAUGGCAAGUUUGAGAUACAGAAUGAGAGAUGGUUAUGCCUAUUUAUAGUUGAGGUUCAGGGAUCAACUUGCAAAGUCACUUUACAAUUUAGGGACCAUAUAUUGCAAAUAUCUCAGAUUUUAUUAUGCCAAUAUCUCGAUACCCAUAUCUUUGACUUUCCAAUAUUUGAUACCAAUAUCUUUGACUUUCCAAUAUUUGAUACCCAUAUCUUUGACUUUCCAUUAUUUGAUACCCAUAUCUUUGAUUUUCCAUAAAUAUGGAUAAUUCCCAAUACGAUUUUUAUUUAGAAAAGGGAAGAUUAUGGUGGGCAGACUCCCUUACUUGCGUCGAGAAUUGUUUUCGCAUUUUCAUUCCAGUUCUAUUGGAGGGCACUCGGGGGUGCAUGUCACCAGGAAAAGAAUCUCUAGUCAGUUGUACUGGAAGGGACUAACAAAGGAUGUUAAGCAAUGGAUCUGGGAAUGCUUAGUAUGUCAAAAGUGCAAGGGAGAAUCAGUGGCGUCUCCUGGUCUGUUACAGCCCCUACCGAUACCUGAGAGAGCUUGGUCGGUGAUCAGCAUGGAUUUUAUAGAAGGGUUACCAACUUCCAAUAAGAAGAACUCCAUUCUUGUAGUGGUUGACCAUUUCACCAAAUAUGGUCACUUCUUGGCGUUGAGUCAUCCAUAUACGGCAAAGGAAGUAGCUCAAGAAUACUUGAAUCACGUUUAUAAAUUGCAUGACUUGCCUAAAUCUAUAAUCUCUGACAGGGAUAGAAUUUUCACUAGUAGUUUUUGGCAGGAGCUAUUUAGGCAAUCGAGAACUAAGCUUUUGUUGUCGACGGCCUACCAUCCACAAACUGACGGUCAGACGAAAGUCCUAAAUCGUUGUUUGGAAAAUUAUUUGCGGUGUAUGACUGGGGAAACUCCAGCGCAGUGGGUUUAUUGGUUGCCUUUAGCCGAAUGGUGGUAUAACACAUCUUAUCACUCCUCUAUCCAGCUUACGCCGUAUGAAGCACUGUAUAGGCAGCCUCCUCCUACUCACAUGCCAUAUUUGGCCGGGGCUUCAUCCGUAGCUGUGGUGGAUCGCAGUCUACUAACAAGAGAAGUUGCUCGGAGAUUACUCCAUUUUUGUCUUAAGAAAGCCCAAGCACGUAUGAAACAAAUGGCAGACAGAGACCGAUCGGAACGCAGUUUCCAGGUUGGCGACUUGGUUUACUUACGCUUACAACCGUACAGGCAACAAUCCAUUAGGAAGGUCUCUAAUCAGAAAUUAUCUCCGAAGUAUUACGGCCCUUUUCCGGUAAUAAAGAAAGUGGGAAUAGUGGCUUAUACUUUGCAGCUUCCCCAGAAUUCAAGGAUUCAUCCGACUUUCCAUGUAUCUCAGUUGAAGAAACAUGUUGGAUUGGCUCCAGUUCAGGCUCACUUACCCCUGGUGGAUGAUCAUGGUGCCUUAGAAAAAGUGCCAAUUCGCAUUGCGGACCGGAGGAUAGUUAAGAAAGGGGACCAAGCAGUAACUGAGGUAUUAGUGGAGUGGGCUAAUUCCUUCCCUGAAGAUGCAACUUGGGAGUCCUUCACUGCAUUCCAGAACAGAUUUCCAAAAUUUCAGCCUUGAGGACAAGGCUGUUCUUUCAGCAAGGGAGUAUUGUUACGAGCUAAUAAAUUAGCAGGAUUUUUAGCUUAAGUGAUACGGGGCGUUUUGUGUCUAACAGAACAAUCCACAUCAGCACGUUGUAAUUCUUUUAAAUGUUGCAUGUUUUGCAUGGCAGCUAUUAUCAAGGAAAAUACCAGUACUCAAUCUGUGAUCUCCCUUCUUCUCUCUUUAUACUCUUUUCUUCCUCUUCUUCUUCUCCCAAUUUCUCUGCUCGAUUUUAGUUCUUAACACAGAUCUAAAUCUAUUAUCCUCUUUGAUUAAACAUUAAAUAGCUAUUUCUGCUUACCUAUCGCCGACUCUGGAUCUUACUUUUGGAUUUUCCUCUUGCAUUCUUACGUCCCAUUGUUUUGAUCUAAAUUGAUUUUCUUUUCUUUUGAUUCAUGAUUCGAUAAGUGUGAAUUUGGCGUGAUUUCUUUGUUUUCUAAAUCUUGGUUGCAUUGCAUGCCCUUGACAUUUCAUUUUCAUUUGAUUUCUUUUUCAGAAAACAGACAAGCUUGGCCAUCGUUUUUUUACCUUUUCUACCGAUACUUUAGUGGUUAUUUAGCUUUCUUUUUUGCGCUAAGAAAAGGCAACGAAAAGCGUUCUUGUCAAGCACUUCUCUUUUUUGGCUAAAAUGCUUGUCAACUACUUUGAUGCUCUUUUCUGUAACAUUCUUGAAGUAGUAUUUCCAGAGUUGAAUUUGUUUGUUGCAUUUUUUUUGUUUACCUUUUGUUGAUCAUAAAUUAAUAAAUAGAUAAUUAAAUUGUCAAUAUUGUUUUAAAUUAUGUUGUGACUUGAAUUUUUUUCUUUUGUGUGAUAGUUGCUAGGUGUCAAUCAGAAGCAGACGUAGAUGUUGCUGAAGCUGUUGAAGGAGGCGAGCUUGGGAUUGUUGGCGAGGAUUUUCAGGAUUUUGGUGAUGGGAAUUUUGGCCCAGCGCCGGGAGUUGAAACUGUAUGCGUUUUCCUCAAAACUAGUGCGAAAUGUAAGAACAUUUCGAUGUAUGAUUUUGUUAGUGAUGUGCAUUUUUAUUUGAUUGGAAAUGGUUAACCUCUUCCCCCCCCCCCCCUCUCUUGGCAGUGGUUGUGGCUGGAGAAGAGACUGAACUUUUAGUUGGGAUGGAAAAUGUUGGUAAUUAGUUUUAUUUCACAACAUUACUGGCUCCUUUUACAAUGCAAUUUGAUGUUAUGUGUUCAAAUAAGUUAAUUUAUCUGUCCUUGUUCAGUUCAUUUGCUAGAUUUCAAUGCUUACCAGUUUUGCAUUAGCCAUGCCAGUCCUCUCUUAUGCUUAGCUUACUUUUUAAAAUUGCAGGGGGUCACCUUUAAAUAUCAUUGCAAUCCAAGCAAGUGUUCAUCUCCCUUUUGAUCAUCGAAUGCUUGUACAAAAUCUUACAGCGCAGGUAAUCAUAGGUUUUCAUAAUAUUGUUCUGGUAAUAUUUUCAUAACUCAUGCUUUGGUAGCUAGUGCAGUUUUCAUUUUGAUUGAUUUCUAUGCUUAAUUUCUAUCAUUUCCUAAUUUAAAAACUUUACAUUAUUGAAUAUCUUGCCUUUUAGUUUUUUUUAAGUUAAUGCAUUCAUUGUUUUUUCCUCUUCUAGAUCAUUAUUUGCUGCUUAUCCUAUUUUGUAGUCUACUUGGUUAAAAGGUGUUGACUAAAUCUAUGGUAUCUUUAUUGAAUGUCUUAAAUAUCCAUUAUCAAACAUGUGGCUAGUGAUGAGUUUUAUGUGCUGUGACUGAUUCUUUUGUGUUCCUAUUGCUACUGCUUACCUACUUUAAUGAGCUUUAACAGUGAUAGUGCAGUUCAUUAUUUUUGCCCAAUAAUAUGAAGAUGGAUGUUGAACUUGCAUUUAGAUUGGUUUAAGAAACGUUGGCAGAGUGUGUUACUAAUGUAGGUUUUGCUGUGUCUUUAACUUUCAGGCUAGACCCUACAUUGAUUUUGUGAUUAUACCGAGUAUAUCAAUACAGUAUAUAGAUAUCAUACUCUAAUUGCUCACUGCAAUUGUAAUGUUUUGCUGCUGGUUUUGACAGUUGGCUUUUUGUUUUCUUUUGUACUUUACCUUAAAGCCUAAACCCUAUAAAAUGCUUGUUGCUUUAUUUGAAAAGGAUCUUAAGCUUCUUCAUUGCUAAAACAUUAUGGCCUAUGUUGUUGGAUUGAAACUGCCUUGUGACUUUUGCAUGUAAAUUUUGUAACUGAAAGUGUGUUGUUUUAAUACAGACCUUCAACAAAGCAUCUGUGUCCCCUUCAGUGCAAGCUACUUUCCCUUACAUGUUUGCUGUUAGCAGGUACUUACAGGUAAAUAAAUACUCUGGGAGUUCUAUGCUUUAGAACUUUAUAUAAAUUCCUUUUUGUGAGGACAGUGUUGCAGUUAAGCUUACAUGUCUAAAACAUUGAUGCAGCCUGGAACUUUUGAUCUUGUGGGUACGAUUGUCUAUGAAAUUGACCAGAAACCAUACCAAAAUACAUUCUACAAUGGUACCGUUGAAGUUGUUGAGGCUGGUGGUUUCCUAAGUGUUGAGUCUGUUUUUCUUGUUACCCUUGGGAUUGCACUUCUUGUUCUCCUCGCCUUAUGGCUUCAUGGUCAAUUUCAGCGUACUACAAAGGUAUUGUAAUUGUGCCACCUUCUUCAGUUGUAUUAAUUUACUCUAGUAACUAUGUACUAAAAUAAAGUAUGCAUGAGACGGAAUUAACAUUUUCUUCAAACUAUUUGUUAUAAUACCUAAUCAAACAGGGCCUUUUGCUGAAUGAAAGUAUUGAUGGAUAUCUUGUAGAAAAGAGCACACCCACCAUGUAUACAUGGAGUAAAAUCUACUUUGUCCUAGCAUGAUUGACCUAUUUCAAAUUGUCCAGAAAGCUAUUGUGCUGUGAAUGUUAAGUAUUUGUAAAUUUUUUUGUUCUUGCACUUGCAAGGUUACUUUAUUGUUGCAUGCAUACUUGUAAGGAGAGAGAGACAGAAGGAAAAGUGCUUGCAUCUAUUUUUUCAUGUUUCUUGUAUUUCUUAUUUUUAAUUUUUUGCGGAGUGAACCUAAUAUGUUUGCCUUUAUUGUUUGUUAUUGCUAGAAAACUAAGAAGGCUCCAAAGGUGGAAGUCGGAAUUGGGACUACUGAUGCCUCAUUGGAUGAAUGGCUUCAGGUUAUGUAUCGUCAUUUACUUCCCAUAAUUUUCUAUUGCAGUUAUUGUGCUUUUUUUCUUUUCGGUCUGUUCACCCUCGACUACUCGUAGUAUGGACCUCUGUCUUAAAUACAUUAAAUAACAAUCUUAGUAGGGUUUAGCUGAAAAUUUCUUGAUUUGGAUGUCUUAAUUUUCAGGGAACUGCUUACACUCAGUCAGCUUCCAAAUCAAAGAAAAAGAAGUAGAUGGGGCAGUGUUUCUGAAGUUAGGCUAUUAUAACACAUGCUAGGCAUUUGGAAAAUUUCAAAGUGAAGGCACAAGUAGUUUGAGAAUUAGGCCAGGAAAAGGCAUACCUUGCCGUUGUAGCAUGUGAAAUUAAGCCUUUUUGAAGCAAAAAGAUACGAAGCAGAAGGUUCAAUUUUAUUUGAGGAAAAUUUCCGGGUAACAUAAUAUUUUCUUGCCCCAACCCACCAACAUUUGCUUCUUGUUUUCUAGGUUGUGGUAGAUAAAAAUUCUUGCUCAUGGAUUCCGGGUUUUGCUUGAUUGGUCUAUGCAAUUUCUCUCUCAAAAGAUUCCAAAGUCUAGUGGUUGUUGGUUAUUGUUUCUUGGACGGGAAUGAUAGUCAAACCGAUAAGAUCAUCAGUCUUUGGUUUGAUCUGUUCGUUCAGUUCAAAGUAAAUAAAUUUAUUACAAAUUUUAAAAAGAAUAUAAGAUCUAGUUUAAUCGUUUUGUACUAAUUCAUGGGUCAAUUUUUUGUUAGAUCAGUCCAAACAACAUUAUUGUUUGUAGUAUCAUUCUUUAUUUUUAAACAUGAUGGAGCAUAAAGGUUGGGACUUUAAAUUUUGUUGAAGACUAAUCGUAUUUUUAAUGAUGAAGGAGCUCGUCAUAUUAUUCUUACAGUUUUGUUUACAAAAAUAUGUUAUUUUUAAUUUACUCGAAUAAUUUGUUUAAUAAAAUUUACUCGAAUAAUAUCAACCUGUGAAUAUGCUGAAAUCAUCCAUCGUCGCAUAAUAUUGUUUUAGGCUUAAAAUGGAAGUCGUCCAAGAUGGGUCCAACUUCGACCACUAAUUUAAAGAACCCAAGUGUAUUACUAUAUAAAAUCCAAUUGUAGCUGAUGAGAUAAUACCUAAAUUUGCGGCAUUAAAACCCUCCACAUCUUUGAAUGUGACUAUUAAUCCAAAAAAUGUGCUUCAAUACCCUUUGCCCCACUCACAUAAUUUACAAUUUGUGAAUUUAUAUCAUCCACAAUUCAUCUGACCAAACAUUAGGGUGCAUAAUAAAUCACAGUACUCCCUAAUUUGCUCAAAUUCAGUAGUCUUUGACCCCACGUUUAUUUUGCGACUUGUACCUAUAUUUUCAACAUCAAUUCUUUUCAAGAUUUUAUCAACAGCUUGAUGCUUCUUUUAUAAAAAGAAAAAUUAAUUUCUUUGAUGUGAUCAUGUUUGUUGAUUUCAUUUUUCUUUUAAGUAUACUAUUAUCGUAUAAACAGUCCUUUUAUCAGAUAAAGACCUAUAAUUAUCUGAAAAAAUAACUAUCGAAAUCCAUGAUCAAAAAACAAAUGUCGAAAUCCAUUAUCUUUUCAAGGCAUCAUUAAGUACUAGUUCACGUGAAGAAUAUAAUAGUAUAUGUUUUAAAUAAUCAAUGCAAUAAAAAUAUUAUUAUUAACAAUAUUUUGUGAAAUAAAGUAAUUUAUAUAAUUUAUAAAUUCAUGAACCAAUUCAUAUUAAAAUAAUUCUAUUUUUAUUUAAAUUCAAAUUUUAUAUAAUAAAGAUGAUAAUAUAAUUUAAUUAAUGUUUAUGAUUUCAUAACGUAUUAGGCAAUGAAAAUAGGUAAUGUGAAUAAUAAUGUGUAAAUUUUGCUUAAUUAUAAAAUAUAUAAUAAAUAACUAAAAAUACAAUCUGUGUAAAAAAAAAGCAUAAUAAUUUAUUUAGCCUUCCAACUUUACAAAAAAAGUCAUUUUAACAUUUCAUUUCAUUUUCUGUCUUUUUUAGCUUUUAAACUUACAUUUUUUUUAUCAAAUCAUUUUAAAAUAGAUGGAAAAGUGUUUUCUAACUUUGCUGAUGUGGCAUACAUAUGGAUUGCCACGUGUAUUUAAUUAAUUUUUUAAAAUUUUAAAAAUUCAAAAAAUAUUUUUAAAAAUGAAAAAUCAUUAAAAUUAUUUUAAAUUUUUUAAAAAUUAAUUAAAUAAUAACAUGUCAUCCACAUGUGUGCCAAAACAACAAAGUUAACAAGCAUACUUAAAUGGAAGACUAAAAUUAAUAUUUUUUUAUAAAAUUGGAGAACCAAAAAUUUAAUUAUACCUAAAAAAAAUAGUUUCUUUUCUUCAACUAAAUAAAAAUUUUAUUAAUGAAAAACAAAGUACACUGAAAAACUCCUUGGUUUGAGGGGACUUUAACCUCUUAUUCAAUAAUUCUUUAUUGAAUACAAUGCCCUAAUCUAAUAGCUUAUAAUCCACAACACGAAACCGGCUAACAAAGCACUCUUCAACACCAAAAUAGAAACUAAUACAAAUCAACAUUUUUAAUCUUUCUAAACCACCUUUACCGUAAUCCAAAUAAAAUAAAUAACUAUAUUCAGAAACUUUUUAGGAAGACCGGGAUUAAAUUGUAUAUUUUUAUGAUAGUGAAAAUGUAAUUUCACCAUUUUAUAGUCUAUAUCUUUAUAAUUUUUAGAAGGAAAAAUAUAAUUUUACCCUUACUAAUUUAAAAUUUUAUAGAUUAUAAAGAGUUUAAAUAGAAAAUUAUCCAUUUUAGGGGUGGAGUCCCAUGGUUAAAUGUAAAGAUUAGUGCACCAAAAAACAAUAAUAUCCCUUUACAAACUCGCUUCAUAAAUAAAUUCAUUUAACUUAUUAUUUUCUUUCCCUAUUCUUUUUAUCACCAGAAUGAAUACACAUUGCCAUCACAAUUGCCCUCAAACAGAGCUCAUAUCUUAAUAAAAUUCAAAUUGGUGAUAAAUAUAUUUAAUUUUUAUUAUAAUUAAUAAUGAGCAUGUAUAUAUGUUGUGCAGUAUUUACAAUUUUAAAAUAAUAUAUUGCUUCAUGGAUUUUAUUAAUGAGUGCAUUAAUAAAUCAACCACUUAUUUGUGAUUUGCACAUGAGAAUUAUUCAAAGGCUAUCAUAUCUAAAUUAACAUGCCAGUUUUGGCAAAGCUAGUAAAAUCUCAUUGAUGGCAAAAAGUAAGGGUAAAUUCGAAAUUUUCUUCAAUUUUGCUGGUAGCUUCAUCAUCACUUCUCUCAACGACUAUGCAAUGGCAGCUAUGGUCCCCAAGUUUAGGUCAUUAAUAAAUAAAUAAAAUAUCUUACAAAUUUUAGUCUAUGCUUUAUGCUCCAUAAGCUGAAAUUUUGAAUUUAUUUAAGUAGUUGCAAAAGAAUAUACAAUAUUGUUCGGAUGACUAAUAGAAAAGCAAUAAAUGACUAAUGAAAAAGCAAUUCAACAUUUAGGACUAUUAAUUGAAGUCAUUAGUUGGUUGAUUCACGUGAAGAUGUCAACUUUAUAUACAAAACUAUGCAAGGAUGUGGGAAAGUUGAGACUUAUAUGGUUUAAUUUAAUAUUUGUAAGGACUGAUUUGAUAGUUGUAUGCUGCUUUGCAAUUAACGUUUUUGUAAUUCAACCAAAAAUCAUGUAUAAGCAAGGCAAAGAUUAUAUUUAUGAAAGUGAGUAAGUAGGUUUAAACAGACAGCCUGUUUGUAGUUGAGAACUCAUUGAAUGAAAGGUAAUGUCAUUUGCACGAUGAAGCUGGCGUGGCACACAUUUCUUUUUCAAACCAUAUAACAGCAAAAGGGGUGGGGGGUCCCCAAUUCAUGUGAGGCUUUAAGUGAGGUGUCGGUGAGGCUUUGAAUUUGAUUUCCUUUAAGAUCAUUAUAUAAUAAAGCCUCUGUAUAUGCAAUCUGAUCAUCAUCACUCAAAGAUUAUUUGGUUAUGUGCUUGGCAGAUGCAAAUAAGCUGAUAUUAUUUUGAUUUGGUUUCCUAAAUCGUUGGGAGGAGGGACUGUAAAAAAGCAUAGGUUCCCAAUGCAGAUCCUCCCGUUUCGAGGAGGCGCACUUGUGUGCUUCAUUUCUUCCUUGUUAUUUGUUGCCAGUUUUUGCAAAGCCGAUGCUAAAACAGUCGAGGUUGUCGGGGCUGGUGAGUGCGCAGAUUGUGCAGAGAAUAACUUGGAGAUUAGCCAGGCUUUUUCAGGUACGUACUUUGAUCACCUACUCAUGCAUGCAUGCAUAUAUUGAGCUCGAGUAGGACUACGGGACUGCAUUAUUUUUGUAUUAUGUAGGGUUACUUUAACACUGAUGAUAUCCAUAAUAUUAUUGUUAUUAAUUUGUGUUUCUUUUUACAGGGCUACGAGUAAGCAUAGACUGCAAGCCCGAAAAUGGGAAGAACUUUAAAACACGAGGAUCAGGGGAGCUUGAUAAACAAGGCAAUUUUAAAGUAUUCGUUCCAGAGGAUUUGGUUGAAAAUGGGGAACUGAAGGAAGAAUGCUAUGCACAGCUUCACAGUGUAUCGGCAGCACCUUGUCCCGCCCAUGAUGGCUUGGAGUCGGCCAAGUUAGUGUUGAAGUCCAGGAGUGAUGGGAAACACGGGUUUGGGUUAAAAGGAAAGCUCAGAUUCUCACCUCUAACCUGUGCUUCUGCCUUCUUUUGGCCUCACUUUAAGUUUCCUCCCUUGCCUAAGUGGAACCAUCCCCCUUUGCCCAAGUUUCCACUUCCCCCAUUCAAAGGCUUCCACCACCAUUAUCCAAUAAUCCCUCCCAUCUACAAGAAACCUCUUCCGCCACCGUCCCCGGUGUACAAGCCCCCUCCAGUUCCCGUAAACCCACCUGUUCCAAUCUAUAAACCUCCACCAGUUCCAGUCUAUAAACCUCCUCCAGUUCCAGUAAAACCACUUCCUCCACCUGUUCCAAUCUACAAACCUCCACCAGUUGAAAAACCACAUCCUCCACCUGUUCCAGUCUAUAAACCUCCACCAGUUCCAGUAUACAAGAAGCCAUGUCCUCCACCAGUUCCAGUCUAUAAAUCUCCUCCGGUUCCAGUAUACAAGAAACCGCAUCCUCCUCCAGUUCCAGUCUAUAAGAAACCACAUCCACCUCCAGUUCCAGUAUACAAGAAACCAUGUCCUCCCCCAGUUCCAGUCUAUAAAUCUCCUCCAGUUCCGGAACCACAUCCUCCGCCAGUUCCAGUCUAUAAGAAACCACAUCCACCUCCAGUUCCAGUAUACAAGAAACCAUGUCCUCCCCCAGUUCCAGUCUAUAAAUCUCCUCCAGUUCCGGAACCACAUCCUCCGCCAGUUCCAGUCCAUAAGCCUCCUCCAGUUCCGGUAUACAAGAAAAGAGUCCCUCCUCCGGUUCCAAUCUACAAGCCCCCUCCAGUUCCUGUAUACAACAAACCACUACCUCCCCCGGUUCCAGUGUAUACGAAGCCACUUCCACCACCUGUUCCAACCUACAAACCAAAACCCCUCCCUCCCAUUCCUUACAAGCCACUCCCUCCACUUCCCAAGAUCCCUCCAUUCCCUAAGAAGCCAUGCCCUCCCCUUCCUAAGCUACCUCCUCUUCCCAAGAUUCCUCCCAAGUAUUUCCACCACCACCCUCCCCUUCCUAAGCUACCUCCUCUCCCUAAGAUUCCUCCCAAGUAUUUCCACCACCAUCCCAAGUUCGGAAAAUGGCCUUCUUUGCCACCCUUUGCUCCCCAUCAUCCUUAAGCUAUCUUGCAUUGUUUUACGCAUUUAAUGAAGGUGGUUAGUGUGAACAAGUUCCCCAGCAGUACCUCAUGCAAUAAAUGUAGCAACAAAAG